This 84702-nucleotide long non-coding RNA is filed under the name Eutrema salsugineum. RNAcentral describes it as "long non-coding RNA (ESAL_LNC000081)". The record is from RNAcentral. Lineage: Eukaryota; Viridiplantae; Streptophyta; Magnoliopsida; Brassicales; Brassicaceae.
CACGUAUCCCCUGUUUUGAUAUCCAAACCUAAUCAGACGUAAGAAUCCUCAAACAUAUCUUUUAUAUCACUGGGUAGACCUUUAAGUUUUGUCUUUCCUCUAUAAGGAUUCAUAUCGGAGUAUGAAUGGAUAGGUGUAGACCAAAAUGGUAUAAAUGAUACUGUAAAAUUCUAAAACAUUGCAAAGUUAUAAAUAAAGGAGUGGAAGCAUGCCUUUGAUUUGUCGAUUGGAUCCGAUGAGCUGCUAUCGUUACUCUUUGAUGAUGACCAAGCUUUAUGACUUUCUGGAGUUGAAAUUGCUGAACCCUUUUCCUCUAUAUACGAGAGAUCGGUUGAAAGAAGAAAUUUUGUUGGGAGACUCACCUGGAAUAUGAGAACAAAAUCUACCUAGGAUUAAACAAGGGCAAAAUCUACUAAAACACAGAACAUAAAGAUAAAAGGUUGGUUCCACAACCUUAGUGAUCGAUAAGGAUGGAAAAGAUAUUCCGACCAGAAAGCCGAAAGUUACUCCGAAAAAUGCAGUUGCAAUGAUCUUCAUUCCAUCUUUUGAUUUCCUACUAAUGGAACUGAAAUAACAAAAACACAAAUUCAAUUAAGGUUCUCUUCACCUCUAAAGAGCACAAACCAAAUUAGUCAGUAACCUUCAAAGAAUUAUGAAAAUAAUUUAUCGAGACGAGAUCUUGACCUGCGUGAAAAGAUUCCCAUCUCUUCUCUAAGCUUCUGACUGUAGUUUCACAGCGAAAACGUGCAGCAUGCAGUGCAGGAGCCACUCACUACUCCAAAACUCAAAGGCCUCUCCUGACAGUGAAGAAGCCAGGAACCUGCAAUGGUUAAGACCGUGAGUCGUGAUCUAGAGCAGCAGAAAUGAGGUUUACGAAGAAGACACACACAUGGCAAGACAGACAAGGAUUUGCCUUUUUAAAAUGGAAAAGUCAUCCACCACACUUUUUAAAAUUCUUUGUCAAAAAGGUGAGUCAUUAUCGUAAAACCUACAGAUGAAUACAAUAUAGUGCAUCUAAACCAACCAUGAGAGGAACAAAAAAUAAAGCUUUAAUACCAAACUAUUGACCAAGACAACUAGUAUGAGGAAUACAAAUCUAAAAAAAAGUCAAAAAACACACACGUUUACUUCCAUUAGAGAUCAUUCCACUCCUACGAUCACAAUUGCAAGCAAAAUGCUAUCAACAAGCAAGAGUUCAUGCGCUUCAAUCACAGAACAUGGAACUACAAAGUCGUCUUAUACAGAAACAGAACAGUUUGCUUAGAUUGCAAGACAGGAAAAUAAACAAUUCAAACCAAGGACUAAGACAGCUCAAUUUCCUCUGUAUAAAAAUCACCUUUGAUUAAACCAACACUAGCAGUAAAAUGUUGAAAUCAAUCCCAAGCAGCCAUUAAGACUAAUUACUAAAGAUACGUGUUUCAACAUCAAGAGAAACAAAUGGUACCGAGAUGACAAUUACCCGAAAACCUGUUACACUAAAAUUCUCAAAAAUUUAUCCGAUUACGAUUGAAACAAACAAGAAUACAAUGAUUUUCGUUUUCUGUCAUCACAUAAAAAUCGAUGCGAACCUGGGUUAAUCAAAUAAAAAAGGCACAGAUCCCGAGAACCAGUGAAGCACGAGAAAAUCGCUUCUUCAACACGAAGAAAAACAAACCCUAAAAUUCCUUCUUUUCCCCAAAGACGCACACAAAACAACGAAGAGGUGUAAAACCCCGUGAUCGCCUCUCGUCAAGAGACAAACCCAGAAAACGCCAAAAACGUGAGAGGAAAAAUCGAAACGCGUUUUUCGAAUCAAAGGAGUGAAAUUUCUUGAAACCCUUAUCGACCCUUGUUGUUUAAGGAAAAUUUCAAAGCAGGCGUCGUAGGUUUUGGUUUGGUGACCACAAGGAAUUUUCUGGCGUAUAUUUAGGUGCAGGGAGAAAGAAAACCGAAGAAACGAAGAGCUUCAAUAAGCUCAAAAUUAAGGAAAAGAAAUGGUGAAAUUGAAAAAAAUCGAAAACCUGAAAAACGACAGCGUUUUCGAAGAAGUGUCACGAUUUAAUUGGCUUUUGACUCAAAUGCGCGUAAAAGUAAGCAGCAACGACAAAUACGAUUCAUAAAGGACCGACACUACACGCAUAUCCGUACUGUGCAAACAUCUAAUGGUGCCAAUAUAAAUUAAUGUUUUCAUAAUUUGGACAUGUGAAUGAGAGAAAUCAUAUCAAUGAAAAAACAAACAAUUUUUACAAAUUUUGAAUAGUGUCAAUUUUGUUGCAAAUUAUUUAGGAAAGCACAAUUAGUGAGAUCUUUCCGAAAAUCACGCAAGAAUUUUACCAUUUUGCAAGACAAGAAUGAAGAAUCCAAGAUGGUGCUCUAGAAGAAAGCAACAAAAACGCAAGAUACUGAUAAUAGUAAGUGAAGUAGUUUCUAACCUUUAAAGAAAUGUGUAUGAACACGUAAACCAAAUAAACACUUUUUGUAUUUACUUUUGUGCACAACUUUGUAUAAAUAGAGCGUCGAAUGUAUGACAUUGCUAUAAUGUAUCUUACGGGUUAUAAAAUUGAUGAAUUUAUAUUUUUUGGUCAACAUUGCUAAAAUUAAUGAGGUUUGACUAAUGUAUAUAUGCAAAUAUACGGUUGCCUAACUAUGUAAUAAGGAAAGUGUAAAAUUAAAUUUCGUACCAAAGUAACCAAACUGAGGAGUCCACUUUCUUUAAUAAAGAGGUCCCCCAAGUUUCCUUCAUUUGCUUUUCCAUAAAAUGCGGUUAAGUAAAUAAUAUAAUACAAUAAAAUUUUUAUAAAUUAAUAAUGUCGAAAUCAUGAUAUUUUAUUAAUUUAUCGAGAUAUUAAUUUGUAGAGAAAAUUAUUUUUCAUCUAUCUUAUUUUAAAAUUUUCUUUCAAAUAAUAUUAUAUUUAAGAAUUUAAACUCAAAUGUUUAUAAAAUUAUAUGCACAAAUUUAAAGUUAUGAUUACUAAUUUUUUUUUUCAACAACCUAAGCAUCUAUAGCGGUUCGACAAGCCAAAUCGAUGGUACCGAGUUUACAUAGAUCACGUCUUGCGGGUAGCCACGAGCACUUUUUGCAAGAUUGUCCACCUUCGAGUUCUUUUCGCGGGAAAUAUGUGAUAGCUGGAAGAAAUCAAAUUUGUCAUUCACAUUCCCAAUUUCCUCCAAGUGUAGAGCAAAAGCAGGUCAUUCUUCAAAUGUAAACACUAUCUUCACCAACUCUGAAAAUUCUGUCGCAAAAGCUACUGGCGUCCUCUCGUUUGCAAGCAUACAAUGCAUAGCCCAAAUUAGAGCUUUUGUUUCCGCAUGCAAUAGUGUAAGACUGCGUCUUACAUUCUGAGCACCCAUAACUCUUUCCGUAUUCUCUUCAUGAAAAUAGUACCAUCCUAGUCCCGUUUUUUGUAUCCGUAUCUUUCCAAGAACCAUCAAUAUAACACCACCAUCUGUCAUAUCCUGUGGGAUUAGCCAAUGUCGUUAACAUACCAUUUCCAGUGGAUGCUGGGUCCUGGUCCGUUCUAUGGGCCUCCUCCCAUAGAGUCGUUUCUGCUUCCGCAAUCUUUAAAGUUAUCUGUGGGUCUAUAUCCCUAUCUGAGUACACUUUCUCAUUAUGUGCUUUCCAGAUAUACCAUGUAAUCUAUGAGAAUUGUAUAGUUUUUAUUACAUUGGGAAGUCUCCAAAAUAAAUAGUCCCAGUUUGAGAAAAUUGAUGUUCCCAAGAAAUAAAUAGUCUCAUUAUGAUUACUAAUCAUAACAAUUGAAAUAGAUUACUUAUUUAUUUAUUUAUAUUUGUUCGUUGUGGAUUGAAUUAUCUAUGUAAGAAUAUAAAUGUUCAAUAGUACAAAUUUAUAAAAUAUAAUGUUGGUGCUAAAAUUGAAGACAAUAUCAUAAUAUAUUUCAAAACAGUUACGCAUAAGAAAAUCGAUUAUCACAUCUAAAUUAUUUCACAAAUUUUGAAAAAAAAAAAUAACAUUAAAAGUUAUUGAUGUAAAUAAGUAAAGAAAAUGAUUUUCAAUAAAAUUUUAAACUUAAAUAAAAACAAACAACACAUUAAUCAUAUUUUCGUAUAUUAUAUCUUACCUAUAUAUACAUAAAUUUCUAUAAUUAUUAAUUUAUGUUUAUGUUGGGACCAUGUUUUUACAUAGGAAUUUCAAAAAAUUAUUAUUUUAUUAUUUUAUCGAAUUUAAUGAAUUUUUAUCAUUCAGGACUAGAAAAGUUUAUUAAUUUUAAUAAUUAUUAAUUUAUCGAAUAUUAAUUUAUAAAAAUUCUACGGUAACAUACAUCAUAGAGAAAACAGUGAUUAAAAGAUAUUCUUUUUUGAGUUCAAAUUGUAAUAGUUUAGGGGCUAAAGAGUUAGGCUAAGCAUUUAUGGAAAAGAACUCCACAACUGUAUGUCGAACUUUUCAAUAUUUGAAACUAACUUCCAUGAAGUAAAGACUUUUAUGUGAAGAAAAAACAGAAACAAAAAAGAAUUGAAAUGUUGUUUCUGGUAAUGUGUAAUAAACAAUUUUGUUCAAGUCUACGUUACAAAGUCUUUACAUAUAUAAUACUGUCACAAGAAUAGAGCUAUAUAUUUACGUUACUAAGUCUUUAACCUAAGUAGACAAAGACUCUUUCGGGUUAUGUACAUAAUAAGUUAUUAUUAUUACACAUUGAUCAACAAAUCAAACCCAAAAAAUAGACUAUACAUUGGCUUCACCAAACAUAAGGCAAAGCAAAAUACUCGAGGCUAAGAUAUUUAACAAGACAAAGAGAAGCAAAUGAAAUUUAUGCUUCAUUGCCUUCAGAUACUGUUGCGGUGAAGGGAGGGAUCCAUAGCUCUAAACGAGUACCACCAGCUCCUAAGGCUGCAUCGGAGCUACGAGGUGAUAUAACCCUGAUCACGCAUCCGUAACUCUCCAGGAUCUCUCGGGCUACGGUUAAACCAGCCACAAAGUUCCAUGUCAUAUUGUCUUCAACCAUGUUUUCCGACAGGAGUUCUGCUCCAAAUGGUGUUAGCGAAUGCAUUUGCGUCUGCAUUGAUGGUUAAACUUCUAUGUUAAGAACCUAUACGGUUUGAGGUUAAACUGAUAAAGCCUCAAGACAUAAAAGCAGGAAUCAAAGAGCAGCAGAAGAUGAGUUUGGUCUUGUUUAUACCAUAUAGCGCAUGUCAGGACCAUCAUCAUCAAUUACAACCAGACUACCACCGGCAGGAGCUCUGGUCGACAAAAUUUCGACUUUUCCUCCAACAUGAGUGCGCAACAGUGCACCUUCGAUGAGGUUGCUCAGAGCCUGCCUCAAAGCCGGUUCUUCAACAGCGACUUGUAGGGAAGCUGAGUUUUCACCUAGCUCCACCACUCUUUGCUGAGUAAGGGCAAGUGGUCUCACAGUCUCGACCAUAUCUAUAAGCACAUUAGAAAUGUCGCAUGGUCUUCCUGACAUAAAUGAAAGAGAUAAGCCCUACCAGUGCAUUGGUUCAAGUUUUCGUAACAAGUUCGUUAAGUUAAUGGCUCAGGGAGCUUAUACCUUAUGCUGUGUGUUUUUAGGGGUGCAAGGGCCAUAGGUGGCAUAGGCACUUCUGAAUCAUCUGAUCCAGAACCCAGGGAAAGGCGUGGACUCGGGACUUGUGACCCAUCAAUGGGAUCCUUAUGUUCAUAGUUACCGGAAUACUUUGAUCUCCUUGUUUCAUUAUGUGUUUUGUUUAUCUUCUUCAGGGCUUCUUCGUUGUGGCGGACUAUAUUAGCCUGAAAUUGAAAUGCUUAGGAAUACACUUACAAAAAAUGAACUGGCGUGCGGUUUGUAAGGAGGAAUCUCAUGCUUAACCCAUCUAAGACAGAUUUACGAAAACAACUGACAAAUGAUUCAUGACUCUUCUAAGUACUGAAAGAGACAAAGUAAGAGAAGGUGGAACCUUUGUCAAGUGAACUGCAUCCUGAAGUUCUUGAAGGGUGUCUCUUAUUUGUUCGCCUUGAACUAUUAAGUCUUCGACAAUAUCAUGUGAAAUCUACAAGGUGAAAAAAACCCAAGUCAGUCCGAUAAUUGCAAGACUCAGGGAGAACAACACUUCCCAGCCAAAUGUUAGUGCAAGGACCUGAUUUCUCUUCGUAUGAGUUGAAAGCAUUUUACUUAAAGUCCUGAUGGUAGAGAGAGGACCACGGAUCUGCGAAAGAGCAAGAAAAAAAUAACAAACUAUAAAACUAAAGGAAACGUUAACGUAAGAUCAAUGUGUGUUAAGAUAACAAGUGUGUGGCUCGUACCUGCUCCACUAGCUUACUCAUCCUCACAUUGUUUUGCCAAGAUGACUGUUGAAGCAGCAUUGUUUUCUAAACAUACCCAUAGAAAGAAAAAAAUAGUAAGUAUUAAAGAUAAGCCAAACACACGCAAUGCACAACAAAGACGGACAAGCAACAGCAUAAGCCCAAAGGAAGAGACAGGAUAUAGGAACAACCUGAUCCAUGACAUAUGCCAUAGCGAGAGUCCGUGAAAUAUUAAUGGCAUAAGACCUCUGCUCUGCAGUGAACACCUUAACAGACGGAACCUUAACUUUUGGUGGCUUUGCAUCAGCUGAACCAGGCAAAGCAUAAGCUUCCUCAGGUGAAGGAAAAUGCUUUAAACCACACGAUCUUUCCUCCUCCUCCUCCUCCUUCCCCUCCUCCUCCUCAGCUUCUAAUGGUAACUCAGCAACCAAGAAACCAACAACAAAUGGGUGUUUCACCAUUGGAAACACUGCAGCUCUAUGUUUAUUCACAACUUCUACCUAUCAUCAUCAUCAUAUUACGUCAACAACGAAAAAAAAAACUACUUUUUAAGCUAUUUGCAGAGGAGGAAGAAGAACACACAAAAGUCAGUGACAUACUUGUUGACUGGAGAGUGACGCUUCAGCCGCUCGAAGACCGGCGGGUAUGCCAAAGUUUCCGACUAAGAUCACAACGUCUCCGGCAUUAACACUUGGGUAACAAGUGACACGACGCAGCUCCAAUCGAUCCAUCACGUAGCUACCAGCUGGUCUCACAUAUAUCUGAAACCAAAAAUUAACAAAACCCCAAAUCAAUUUGAAAACACUUUUCAUUUGGAUAAAGAAGAACAGAGACGCACCGAGAGGAUUGCGUUUGGAUCCACGAUUCGACGAAACAGAUCCAAUUGCUCGAGGCAAAGACGCUGGAAAUCGGGGCUUGGCAAGAUGAUCUUCGUCUUGAGAUGGUCUUUCUCAAUCAACUGUGUGAACUCCACAGGAGUCGUUGAAGCUCCACGAAUCGCGGAAGCGAUGGCCGAGGCAGACGCCACCAUGGUGGUUUCUCCUCCGCUGCCGCCGCCGCCUGCGGAAUCUGAUGCUCCAUCGGAUAAAGUGUGGUUCACGUAACGGAGAUUGCGUGUGGGAAGGGUGUAUAUAGAAGGAGGCGACGACGAGGAGGAAGACGCAUUGGGUAGCUUAAGAGACGAAUUAGAAGGUCUAGGGUUUGGAAUACAAUUGCAAAAGAGUAACUUAGGGUUCGGUGAGAAAAGGGUCUGAGAUGAGAUUGCAGAAAGAAGCAUCACUACCGGAAGACGACAGUCGAGUUACUUGUGGCUGAGACUGAAACUCUGCGAGGAAGACGAUACACAAUGAUAUUACGACACACAUCGACUAACACUAAAACGGCGUCGUAUUCAAGUGGAUAUUUUCUUUUUGGGUAAACAUAAAACCAAACUGGAUUUGAAUCAAACCCGGUUUUAUAUGGUUUCAUUUUCUACAAAACCGAACCAUAAACCAAUCUUUAAAAUCAAACGUUUUUUCUUGAAAAAUCGUAACUUUUAGUUUUUUUGUUCGUAUCUCAAAGUUUCUACUUUUAUAUUUAGAGGAUAAAAGUCCCGUGAUGGAGUUUGGAAGCUUACUUUCUUAGGAUGCUCUUUACUUCUUCUGCUUUAUACCAAACUAUGAAACCAAUCAUAUCUUCUUUCUUUGCUCUCUCUUUGCUUUCUUCACUCGCAACAUCAUCACUAUCAGCGCAUGCCCAUCAAUGCCACUUCCCCGCAAUCUUCAACUUCGGCGACUCUAACUCCGACACCGGCGGUCUCUCCGCCGCUUUUGGCCAAGCUGGUCCUCCUCACGGCGCUUCUUUCUUCGGCCUACCCGCCGGGAGAUACUGCGACGGUCGCCUCGUUAUUGACUUCAUAGGUGAUGAUACUAAUUAUACUCUUUUCGUUGUUACAAGUUUGCGUUUUUGCUGAUUACUAUCUUCUUUUAUUGACAUAGCGGAGAGUCUUGGAUUGCCAUAUCUAAGCCCGUUUCUAGACUCUGUUGGUUCAAACUUCAGCCAUGGAGCCAACUUUGCGACGGCAGGAUCUCCGAUCAGAGCUCUCAACACCACUCUUCGUCAAAGUGGAUUCAGCCCGUUUUCACUCGAUGUUCAGUUGGUUCAGUUCUACAAUUUCCACAACAGAUCACAAACAGUUCGCAGUCGCGGUACGUCUUUCUAUGGAGUACAUAGAAGCAUAAUCACUUUUCAAAAACGCGAAAAGUUGGUAACUUUUUGAAUUUGGGCUUCAUAUUAUGACAAUGUCACAGGAGGAAUUUACACGACGAUGUUGCCUGAAGCAGACAGCUUCUCUCAGGCGCUGUACACUUUCGACAUCGGUCAGAACGAUCUCACCGCUGGUUACUUCGCCAAUAAAACAGUCGAACAAGUUGGAACCGAGGUUCCUGAGCUCAUCAGCCAGUUCAAGAAAGCUGUCACGGUCAGAGACUCUGUUUCAUACUCUGUUCCAAAUGAAUUGUUUUGUGUUUUAAAUGGAAUCAUCAUAAAUGUUGUCUCUUUUUUGGAUGACAGAAUGUUUACAAACAAGGAGGGAGAUACUUCUGGAUUCACAACACAGGACCUAUCGGUUGUUUAGCGUAUGUGAUCGAAUGGUUUCCGAUUAAAGCAUCAGACUUUGAUCCACACGGAUGUGCCUCUCCAUUGAACCACUUAGCGCAACGAUUCAAUCAUGCCUUGAAACAAGCCGUGAUCGAGCUCAGAGCUUCCUUGCCUAAAGCAGCCAUUACUUACGUAGAUGUCUACUCUGUUAAAUAUGAACUGUUUGUUCACGCGCAAGGUCACGGGUUCAAGAGAUCGUUGGUUUCGUGUUGCGGUCAUGGAGGGAAGUACAACUACAAUAGGAACAUUGGGUGUGGGAAGAAGGUGAUUGUGAAAGGCAAAGAGAUGUACAUUGGAAAGCCAUGCGACGAGCCUGACAAGGCCGUUGUGUGGGACGGUGUGCACUUCACGCAGGCUGCUAACAAAUUCAUCUUCGAUAAGAUCGCAACCAGAUUGAGCAUGGCCUGUCACAGGCAGUGACAAGUGACCACAACAACAACAACAAGAAAGAAGCUUCUUUUUCUUUUGUGAGUUUGUUUGUAAGUUCUUAGAAAGGAACCUGUGUUUUGAUUGUCACUGAUUAAUGAACUUAUUAAGAAGGGAAUAAGAUUUUUUUGGUGAGAAAGGUUCAUCAUUUAUCAACAAGAAUCUCUACAUCAUCAUUAAAAGUCUCCAAAGGAUAUGAAACAUAUAUGGACUUACAAGCAUAUGUAUAUGAAGGGUUUUUUCAGCAUUUGUAGUGGUUGAGAUCCACAAUCACCACUGUGAUAUCAUCCAUACUACCUCUACUCACAGCCAUGUCCACGAGCUCUUUGCAAGCCGCCUUGGUCCAAGAAGACUCGGUCUUCAUCUUUAUUCGCUUCAACGCAGUGAUCUUCCGUGACUUUGAAGGUGGACUCAGGUGGGGAGAAGGUAAUUCAUUCUCUGAAUGGUAGUAACUUGUGGAUUUUGCAGAUUUGGGAGACUGAACUGGCAACAACUCUUUUCGUUGCUUGACAAGAGAAACUCGCCGAAGUUUCGAGGAUGGGCUUACAUUGACAAGGCCAUGGAUCAAGUUCUCAUCCUCGCUUUCUCUAGGCGUCUUUCUUGGAGCUAGAACACGCAACACGGUGUCAACUGCUUCUUGGUUACUAACAACAUCCCAAAGUCCAUCAGAAGCUAAGACAAGAAACUCCAUAUCUUCUUCUAAAUCGAGUAUUCUUGUGUCGGGUUCAGCAACUACCCAUUUCUUUAGGUGUGCAUCUCCAAUGCUUCUGGAAAUAGCGAGUAUUCCAUGAACUCGCCAAGCCCCUUUAUGGAAUUCGACAUAGCCUCCCUAAUAGAGCAAGUAUCAAAGCUAUUCCCUCAACAAAAAUCAGCAAAAUUACAAUUUUCUUCACAGUCUUACCUGAUCUUCGAUUCUUUUGCGUUCAUCAUCUCUUUCUGCUUUAUGAUCACUUGUAAGAGCCUCAGCAACUCCUCCUCGACACAGGACAGCUCUGCAAUCUCCCAAAUUCGAGACAAUCAUCUCUUGAUUUUGUAUCAAAGCUGUAACACAGCAGGUACCACUCACUACACCCUGCAUUUGUUGGUAACCAGUAAGUUCAAGUAGAUUGUAAUCUUAACAAGUAACUCUACUCAUGAACAAUUCAAGCAUUAUUGUUUUACCUCUUCUAAGAAAUCACGAUCUGUACUCAAAUAAGCAGUUUUAAAGGCUUCUUCUUUCUCCCCUUUCUCCUCGCAAUUCUUCAUCAUCUCAAGAACAUUUUUGUGCAGAUUCUCAGCAACAAAUUCUGCAGCUUUCCCACCUCCAUGACCAUCAUAAACUCCAAAGAAACUCUACAACUCAAAAUCCCCACAAAAACCAAUUAACCAUAAACCAUUCAAGAUUUAGAACAAGGAAGCGAAGGGGAAGAAACAUACCUUAUUUGAGCUUCCGGCAAAACAAGGAGCGAUUCUGUGACAGUCUUCCAUGAACUUCUUCUUGCCUUUUCUGGAGAAAACACCAAAAUCGUUGCCUCCGAAGCACACGGCGUCGUUUUGGUGAGAAAAGUCUUUGAAUCUGAGAUUAUCAGUUUGAAUCUCUUGAAGGACAUUGGGGAUCUCUAUCUGGGGAGGUCUCUUUCUCUUCAAAGACGACAUCUUUGGGACCAAUAACGGUGAAUUAUUCAAAGGUGAUUCCUUGCUCAGUCUAUUUUCCAUGGCAGGAGAAAAAGUCGCCAUUUUUUCUCCUGAAAGUACUGUGAACAUAUUGCCUCAGAGCAACGGCUACAAAAUGUGAGCGGAAAAAGUCAAUGGUAGAGAAUAGACGCUUUAGGGUUUUUGGCUUUUUGCUCAGUCAAAAACGAAGAAAAAGUUGUUUUUCAAACAUUCAAAUGGCGAAACUGAAAUUGGAGAAAGAAAACAAAAUAAUAUAUAUGGAUUGUACCGUCUAUUAAAUUUUAAAUAUAAGUAGUUAAAAAUAAUUAUAAGUAAAAGUGUUAAAAAUAAAAAUGAUGAUACAUAGACCGAGAGACGUAAAUAUUUACAUCAAAAAAUCUGUAACUAGCAUGGUUAGAAAUGAAAAAAAAUUAAAGAAAUUAAUGAAAAGACAAAAUUUUCCACAGCAUUUUUUGAAUUAUUAAAAAUUUGAUUAUAACUAAAAUGAUACCAUUACUGGAAAAAAAAAACUAAAAAGAUACCAUUAAUUUAUCAAAGAUGUAAUUUUUCCAAAAUUAUUUCUAAAUUUGUUAUUACUUAUUAUUGAUAGGUAAGACAAAGAAAAUGAAAACGAAAAAGUAUGAAAUCUUUUGGAAUGUUAAAAACGGUUAUACAUGAAAAAUAUAUAAUACAAAAAUUAUGAUGAAAUUAAAAACACAAACACAAUUUUCAGAGUAUUUUUAGAACUAUUGAAAACGAUUAUAGGUUGGUAUAUUCUAACCUAAGUUCAAAAUGGCAUCAGCAAUACUUAAUUGGAAGAAAAUUUAGAGUACUAAAUAUUAUUGAAGAGUAAGAAAUCAGAUGCUGUGUUCACAUUAUUAAAUUCAGCAAUGUGGAUGGUUCGGAUUAAGCUUUCUAUUUGGUGACAGCGUUUUUAGUUUUUAGUUGUGCGGGAAAAGCGAUUUAAGAGUGUGGUACGGUUCAACUACGGUACGUGUGGAAAAAUAUAUUUGCAGAAUUAGUGCGGUUUGUAUAUAAUAAGCGGUACAGAAGAAUGUUUGAUUGGUAAAAAAACAAUUUACGGUCCAUAAUAAAAUAUUUGAAUAGUAAACAAGAAAAAAAUAACUUUUAAUAUAAAAAAUACUAUCUUUUUCAAAAAUCUAUUAUUAAAAUAAAUAUUUUAACUAGUUUGAAUCUAAUUAAGGUUAUAAAAAAAUAUAGUUGUAGAAUAGAUACGAUCGAUCAGUACAAAAUAAAAGGUGUAAAAUAAUAUUUAAUUGAUAAAAAAACAAUUUGUGGUAAGCAAAAGUUUGAAUAGUGAAGAAACAUCAUAAUAAAUUUACAAUGUUACAUAUUAUAUUUUUUUAAAAAAAUAUGUAUUAACUAUUUUAAUUACUUAUAAAUUGAUUAGUACAUAACCUAUUUUUAUAUUAAUUUAUUAAAAAAUAUACAUUUUUUAGAUUAAAAACGAUGGUAAUAGGUUAAAAUAUAAUUUUUUUGUUUUUUUCAUAUAUAUGUAAACUACUGUGUUGUAAAGAAUUUACAUCAACUUUUUAUUAAUAAGAAAUUAAAAAAAUAAAAGAUAAUUAGCAUAUUUGUUUCAUGGAGUGCGUUAUUUAAUUGAUACCACUGAAUUGCUGCGGGACUAAAAAUUUGCGGUCCAAAGGUUAAUUAGGCCAGUUGAAAACCGCAAAUGACUUUUGACAGAAUUUUUGAAGAACGCAAAUAAUUAUUAAAGUUGGUGUGAUUGGUGUUCAUUUGCGUUUUUUAAAAAAAAUUCUGAAAACCGCACUCUUACUUGUUACCAUUCAGAGCAUUAGUCUUGCAAAAUACAGAAACACAAACGUUCGAUUUAUGUUCCAGAGUGCUUUACAAGAACAUUACAAAGAAGAAACACCAAGUCACCAACAACAACAUUUUCAUAUAGUGAAAUCAUAAUCCAAAGGAAGCAAUGAAACAGAGUAAUCAGAAGAUUCCAUGUAACUUCUUCUUCUUCCAUUAACGUAAUUAAACAAAAGAUCAUGCUCCUGACGAUGCUGUACCAAUCUUCUGUCUUCUUCUCGGUGCGCCACAUCAUCAUCAUCACCGUCAAAAAAAGGCAAGGUCCGUUUUUGCAUACUCAUCAAAACGUUAUGCCACGUGUUAACUCUCGAUUGUGCCUUCCCGUGAACACCAACGUUCAUCUCCGACAAAUCCUCGCUUCUUACGCCCAUCACUUCCUCCGGUUUAGCACCGUCAAGAAUCCAGAUAAGACAAGAACAAAACCCUUUCGAGAUCUCCGAGUCGCUGUCUGCUUUAAACCUCAUCCUCCCUAACUCGUCCUUCUUGAUCUCUAACCAAACCUGAGUCGUGCAUCCCGUGACUCGGUUCGCCGGAACACGAGCCGAGUCGUCGAGUGGGGCUAGAACCGUCGCGUAGUUUAAAAGACGUUUGACUCGGUCUAUCGGUUCGGUUAAGGACCGGAACUCGGUUACGAGGAGACGCAGCUUGUCGGCUGAUGAGGUUGUUGUUGUUGUUGUUAAGAGAGCUUCUUCUGCUUCGAGUGAUGAAACCGUGGCGAAAGAAACAGAGAAUUCGUGGCUUGAUGAAGGGUUUGGAUUCGAUUUCGAACCGAAGUUAAGAUUGAUGUUAGAAUCUUGCAUGCAUCUAAUCCUUUUAGGAGAGAAUCUUGAAGGAAAUUUUGGGUUACGGAGAGAUUUUACAGUUGGUCUGAAGGUGGAAAUGAACAGAGGAGGAGAAGCAACGGCCUUUAACGACGAUAUCGAUGAAGUAGUGUUCAUGUUCUGUUAAUUUUCAAGGGAAAUUGAGAAAAAGGAAAAUGGAAGGGAAAAAAGGUAGAAGAAGAAGAAGAGGGAGAGAGAAGAUAGAGAGAUAUUUAAGGAUAAUCAGAGGAAAGCUCCUUGAACUACGCGACGGAGAGAGAUGAUGAUGAUGAUGGUGAUUAUUAAAAGUACAGAACUUUCUAAUACGCGCCAAAAAAACUAUUGUUCUGUUCUUUAUUUAUUUUUUUGGUGUCUAGAUGUGUUAUAAAUGAUUAAUGAGAAUCAUUUUGAUAAUACACUAUUUUAAGCUUCGAUUUUUUUUUUUUUUGGUUGGUCAACAGUUUGCUUCUAUUCUUACAAACUAAAAUUUUCAAUUUGUUUUUCAUUUUACGUAAGUGAACUUUUAGAAAAAUAACGAAAUGGUAAUAGACUAAAUUGGUUUUAUUUAUUGUCAAAUUGUUCUAUUGAUUUCGAAAAAAUUGAUUCUUUGCAAACGUAAAAUUAUCUCUUAACUAGUCAAUAUAUGUUGUAAACAUCUUUUGACUCGAAUUUGUUUGAAAAAAUAUAUAUAGCGGCAAGAAAAUAUAACUUUAGAUUUGUAUACCAAUCAUGAUCUUUUUGGUAUAUUCAAUAAUCAACUUGCAUUGCCUUUUUUAUUGUUUAGUCCAAGCAAAUCCAACGUACUUGGAUGCUUACCUAAAAUUUCAAUUGAGUUGAUACUUUGAACACUUGGAUAAAAUAAUUUUAACCAGAUAAAGUGUACUAAAUUACUAAUGAUCUCCAUAGGUCUGUCGAUUAAUCUAACUUUCAAAAGAAUGUUAUACUUUUGUGAAGGGUACAUGUUCAUCUAAUCUAUACAUCUAUAUAGUUAUGUGGCAAAGUUAUCAUAUUUUUUUGUUUACAAAGAUCUUGAACUUAUAAUAUAGGAGGAGUGAUAUUUUGUUUUAAUAAUGGAUUUGAUUGAAAAGAGUGGGCGAGUGUGAGUUAAGUGAGUGAUUCAAACACGACCUAGUCAACAGAAGAACCAAUUUCAAAGAGAGUGGCUAUGAGUUUACAAAUUAAAAAAUAGAUUGCAAAACGAAAGACGAAAUGUUUUCGAUCAUUUGAUGAUGUAAAUGGAGAAGAUACGAUGAACGAAAUUUGAGACCGCCUCUAGAGUGACCAAUCUAAAUGGGAAGAUUAAAGGCACGUGCAUAGCUUUCUCUUUCGAUCUACCAACUCCAUUUCUACUACAAAACAUUUUAGUUUCUCUGAAAAUUAUUAAUAUGAUUUGCGAGUAAAGACAUCAAAAGCAUAUUCGAUUCGAUUACUGACCCAUAAUGUAGGAAAGGGAUAUGGGAAAUCAUAUAUAAUAUAUUGUUCAAAAAAAUCAUAUAUAAUAUAUAGUUUAAAGUAGUUUUCAUUUCGUCAUAGCUGACGGUUACACUCGACUAGAGUGUCCCGGCCAAAAUUAGCUUCUAAUUUUUUUUUAUCUUUCUAAUUCUUUAUUUCCAUUAUAUAUCUUAAACAAUUCGUUUGUAUAUAUUCCAAUUAUAAAAAUGUAAAGCACUCAAAAUAGUCUAGAAACUAUAUUUAUUGAAAAAGUAAAAAAAAAAAUAUUUAUCAUUUAACUACUUUCAUAAAGAAAUGAAUCUUUUGGAUUUACUUACAUGUUGGCAUAGGAACUAGACCAUCUUAUUGUUGGAGAAGCAUUCUUCAAAAGUAGACUUGAGAUGUCAAACCUGUGGUCUUGAUGGAGAAUCGAGUAACCACUUUCUCUUUACUUGCUCAUAUGCUAGGCAUGUAUAGACUAUAUCAGAUUACCCCUGGCCUAAAGAUGGUUUUUGAUGAAGAAUUGUUCUAUGCUAAAUUUCAUAAUCAUAUUGAAAAUUGGAAAAGAUCAACCAUUCCCUUGCUGAAUAUAAGGAGAUACCCGUGGAUCAUGUGGUAUUUUUGUAAGAAUAAGAACAAACUGUUGUUUUUUGAAGGAAAAUUGUUCUCAAUCCGCCAAUGAUUAAGUGCAAAAAAUAGAUAAAAAGGUAUCAUGUUGGGUGAAUGGAUCAGGUGUUGGAUGCCAAUGAUAAAUUUGUCCACAACCACAUAGAGAGUUAAAAAGCAAAGAAAAUGGAAACAUCCACCUGAACCGUGGCUCAAAUGCAAUGUGGGAUUCUCUUAGUUUAAGAAGAAGCUUUUAGAUGUUGUGGCAUGGAUGUUAAGAGAUUGAAAUGGGACAGUGAAAAUGCAGAGCAGCCAAGCUUUCUUGAACAUGAAGUUGAAGGAGGAGGUGAAGCUAUAGAGUUUAGUAUGGUCUAUUGACAGUAUGCACAUUCAUAUCAUCAAUAGAGUCAUCUUUGCUUCUAAAGCAUCAGAAAUGGUUUGGAGUUAUUACAAUACAUAAAAGCUUGACCUUCUUUUCAUUACCAUGCAGCCAAAAUUAGAGCGAGUUUGACUCUUUUUGGAGAUUGGAGAAUAGAGUUAGAGAUUGGGGCAACAAAAUAAGCAAAUGGGAUUCUCUUAGCACAAUGUGUGUUACUAAUGGAAACAAAAGUCAAUCGUACGUUGGCACGUGUCAUGACCAUAUAAAAAAAUUUGCUUAGAGAAAUUACAGGGAUUUAUUGCAAUUUCCGCUUUCCUUAGCAUUCAUUUUUCACGGUUACAUUCUUUAGACUAUUUUUCACGGUUACAGUCUUGACAUCAUGAGCAAUAAGGGUAAAUUGGAGAGAAAUUGCUGACGUGGAGUGGAAAUACUAAUUUUUAAGUUUCUUUUGGUAUCUACUUAAUUUUUUGGUCAACUUUUGGUAUAUAAUAAAAUCACCCUAAUUUAAAAUCCUAAUCCAAGAUACUAUCCUUCUUUUUUCGAUAAAAAAUAAAAUAAAAUACACUGUUGGUCUUGGUCAAGUUAAUAUCGACUUAAAAAAGAAAUAUCUAAUUUUAUAUUCUGAAAUAGAUACGUAUAUAAAUGACAAAAUUGUAAAUCAUAGAUUUAUGUAGUGAAAAUCAAUUUUACAAGAAAUCCUCUGGCAGAUUGGAUUUUGCAGGUAACGUCUCUGCUCAUUAAAUCUUUACCCUCUCGAUUAGUUUAAACCCCAUUGGAAAUUUCGAAAACAAGCGAUGUUUGAAUCAGCCAACUCGUAAUCCCUUGUUUCCUUGUAAUUUUCCGAAUUGGGUUUCCUGUUACUUUAUCAUUUCUUGUCGGAAAAUCUCUCAUCAGAGAGUUUCCUUGUAGUUCACGGCGAUGCUAUAGUCCUCCUUGAAAGCGACUGUCUUACAAAAAUUACUUUAAUUUUGUAACCAAUGUGAAAUUUCCAGAUUCAUACUUGUUUUUAAACAAUGUAAAAUGAGACGAAUUUGAUGGGAAAAAAACAAAAUUUAGAUUUGUCAAAAAGUCUUCCCAAUUGAUCUCUGAAAACCCACCAGAAAUUCAAAGUCAAUAAGCUCUCGUCUAUAUAUAUCUGUGUGUGGAUUAUUCAUAAAGAAGGGUACUUUUUGUUGGAUUAUCUGAAUCGACAUAUAUGCUUGAAGUGUUGCAGGUGAUUGUGUUAUUUAUCUUGUUCUGGGUUUGGUUCUCUGUGAUGGGAGGAAGUAUCUCAAAAGACUCGACCAGAGGCCGAGGUCCUCAGAGGUAUGAUCAGAGGUAUUCUCGAAGCCUGUUUGCGAGCUCGUCUGUGUCUUCUUGGGGACAUUAUGGAGAUCAGAAUAGCACUUAUCAUACACCAAACCAUCCAUCUGCAAGUCCUGCCCCCUCCUACAAUACUGGAAGACAAACUCAAAAGAGUCUUGAGAGGAAGUAUUCACGGAUUGCUGAUAACUACCGCUCCAUCGAUGAGGUUUGAAUCAAAGAAAUAUUCAUUCAUCGCUUCUUUUGUGUAGUUUUUGAGCCUUUUGGUGUGUGAAUUUCUUUCUCCAUUGGUGUUUUGUUGAUUUUUUUUUCUCUCAACAGGUUACUGCUGCUCUUUCACACGCUGGUUUGGAGUCCUCGAAUCUGAUUGUUGGUAUUGAUGUCACCAAGAGCAACGAGUGGACAGGUUAGAGAAAUGAUCUCUAUGUACAAGUAUCUAUAGCCAAUGUUUGAGUCCAAGUUGAUCUGAAAGCUGACUCAUUGAUUUGAUUUAGGGGCGAGAUCAUACGGUAGGAAGAGCCUGCAUUACAUUGGAACAACUCCAAACCCUUACCAGCAAGCUAUAUCCAUCAUUGGAAAAACUUUAUCGGUUUUUGAUGAAGAUAACUUGAUCCCAUGUUAUGGAUUCGGAGAUGGUAAUAACCAUUAAUACCUGGUCUUUUUUUUCAUUUAACUGUUGAGUUUGUUGUAUUGUCUGUGAUUAUAGAGACUUUAAAAUUGGUUUCUUCGGUUUUUGAUUAUGCAGCUACAACUCAUGAUCAGGAUGUCUUCAGUUUCAAUCCCAAUGAUAAAUUCUGUAACGGGUUUGAAGAAGUUCUCAUGUGUUACAGAGACAUUGUUCCCCAGCUCCGGCUUGCAGGUUGAGUGAGAUAAAGCAAACCGUUUUCUUCGUACUCUUAGCUCUACUUUUUACUUGAUAUAUUGCCGGUUCUGUAACAGGUCCGACAUCUUUUGCACCCAUCAUCGAAAGGGCCAUGACAAUUGUGGAAGAAAGUGGCGGUCAGUACCAUGUUCUUCUCAUAAUCGCUGAUGGACAGGUAAAGAACACUGUGUUGGAACCUUAUUUUGAGUUCAGUUAUGAUCACUCUCAGACAUUUGUAUAGUUACCAUCGAAACUUUUAUUGUGUCAGGUGACAAGAAGUGUUGAUACGGAGCAUGGGGCAGUCAGUCCACAAGAGCAGCAAACCAUUGACACCAUUGUUAGAGCAAGGUAUUUCUUCGAGGAAAAUCCAGUUUUAUUAUGUUGCUCUCUACAUGUGAUUCUAAUUUGUGAUGGAAUACGUUUCAGUGAGUAUCCAUUGUCGAUAGUUCUUGUUGGUGUUGGAGAUGGCCCCUGGGACACCAUGAAACAGUUUGAUGACAACAUCCCUGAUCGUGCCUUUGACAAUUUUCAGGUAAACUUUCUGCAAUAGUGUAGAUCCUUGUCCUGUUGUCGCUCCAUUGAAUCAUUAUCAUUGAAAUCCUUUCAGUUUGUGAAUUUCACGAAUAUAAUGUCAAAGAACAUUGAUCCGGCAAGAAAAGAGGCAGAAUUUGCGCUUUCCGCUUUGAUGGAGAUACCGUCUCAGUACAAAGCCACCCUUGAGUUAGGAUUACUAGGGUGAGUAUAUCUUCUGAUACUUUAUGAGUUCAUCACUGUAAUCUCUGCAUCAGCUAUGAACUGGUUUCAAUAACAACCAAUCUUUUUCCUUAUUUUGGAAUUCGCAGACGAAGAACCGGAAAUUAUCCAAACAGGAUUGCGCUUCCACCACCAACUUAUGCUACUCAAUCUAUGCGCAACAGUCCAAGAACUUCAAGAUCAACCAGCUUUCAGAACAGAACACCACAACCAUAUGAUAUUGGUGUUGCCACUGCACCACUUUCACAAGCUCGUAAUGAUGGCCAGGUAUUGCAUGUAAAUGAGGUUACAAAGAAAGAAACAGCAUUGAUUAUCUUUCUGCUUAAUCACAUGUUUUUUGUUUGAUGAACAUCAAAACAGCUUUGCCCGAUAUGUCUAGUGAUACCAAAGAACAUGGCUUUCAAUUGUGGUCACCAGGUGCAUUUCCGGUCCUAGCAUUUGAGUUAAAGAAUCACACUUCAAACAAAACCGUUUAACUUUCCUUUCGAUUUUCUGUUUUUAUACCCAUAGACUUGCUCAGAAUGUGGUGAAGACCUCAGUGUUUGCCCUAUUUUCCGGAGCUCAAUCUCGGUUCGUAUCAAGCUUUAUUAAGAUGAUAAACUCGCUCAAGAGCUGAAGGAAGCACAGCUCGAGUGAGUUUUCCUGCGUCAUCCGAACGAGAUUUUAUCAAUGGUGGUGGAGGAUAUGACCAGUGUCCUAGCAUUUGUUUCUACCGUUGAAUGAUGUUUCGAUCAAUCACAGAUUCUUUUUAAAGGUUUGUAGAUAAUCUGUUCAGUUUUUUCUUUCUCAUUGCACACUGAAAACACACAGCAGACUCUCUCGUCACGCUCCACAUGCAAAUAAAGGAUCUUUGCUCUGCUGCAACAGUCUCAUUUUAUAGAUUUUGUACAUAUGAAUAUUACUCUCUCUUCCUUGAAGAGUCUUCUUGAAUGUUCUCAUGAUGUAUGUAUAUACCUUUCUUGUCUGAAACCUGUCGUCUUCAACACAAGAGCCCAAAUGGUCCUGAUUCACUACCAUAAUUAACAUCUUAUGGAUCGUUUUCAUCGAAAAUGGUAUAAGGGCAAUUGUUUCAUAAGUUUUAAUCAAAGAGAGUACAAGUUCCAUUUUAAGGCUUCCGUAUUAGAUUUUGCUUUUUUCGUAUUUGAUGCUUUCAAACUAAUACUUUUCACUGUUCAUGUGUAAUAAGAUAUACUUUCCCUUAACGCAAGUUAUUUUCUUAGUGUUCAAUGAAUGCGACUUGUUCUUGGAACUAGAAGCAUGGUGAGCUCAUGAGAAACAAUAAGGUUUACAUAAAUCUAGUUAAACCAGAGUAAUCUAGUGCUUGUCUUUCAUCACGGAAAAGUGUUAUCACAGUGAAAAGAAGUGAAGGUUUUAAAACGGUAAAGACAAAGACAUGUUCCAAGUCUUUGAAUAAGAUUCCAGUCAGAUUGUUCAACAAUCUUCUUUCAGUUUCAGAGACCCUACUUAUGUCUUAUCACGCAAACCAAUAGAAAAAAACAUCCUUUGUGGUUUGGUAAAUCAGAAUUCAGAGUAUAGCCUUUUCAGCACAACCUUUACCAUGAAUUUCCAAAGCGACAUCUCUGCUCUGAAUCAAGACAUCAUAGUUGAGCGGCUACUUCGUAGCCAUGAUCCAGACGGUCGAUGGGUUGAUUCCGAUAUGCUGCUUCAAGACGUCGAAACUAUCUUGAGCCUUCUCUGGAAAAUGAUGUGAGCUCCCGUCUUAAAUUCUUCAGAAACUUGUUUAGAUUGUAGCCAAUAACACUGCCACUACAUUUGCAGAUUUCUAAGCCGCUUUUGACAGAGAAUUGUAUGACCAACUUUGAAGUUUUUGAAUCAAAGGAAACAAUACCAUACGCCAUCUCCAGAAUCUCCGUUCAGGUUAACAGAUCUUCCUUUCUUCUCAAAUCAAUUCUUCCUUUAAAAUCUGCAAUGGGCCGGAAAUCUUGAAACUAUUAAGAUUGCAGAUGCUUUGUCCAUGCAAGGGAGAAAAUGAGAUCCAGGAAAGAACAAUGGUUUUAUUUGAUCUUCUGAAAAAAUACAGAUGGGAUGCAAAAGCUUUUUUAGUACUAGGAGCCCUUGCUGCAGCAUAUGGAGGACUAUUGCUACCAGUUCAUCUAGCCUUCAGUGAUCCCAUCGCAGCAUCAAUUGCAACACUCAACCAAUUGCCAAUUGAGAAAACCAAGUUCAGACCAUGGUUAAACUCUCUAAUCCUGCUUGUUAAAGCUAUGGUGGACGUAACCAAAUGCAUCACUGAGUUUGAAAAACUUCCAUUUAAACAAGCGAGACUAGACAACGACAUUGUGGGAGAAACCAUGUCUAACAUCUGUUUGGCUACUUACCAUGUUGUCAAAAGUGCACUUGCAUGCCUGCAGCAGAUUCAUUAUUUCAAGCAAACCCAGCAGGUGUUUUUUCCACCCUUGUUCUAUCUUCCCUACAAAAUGAAAAAAAAGAAGCAAAAACACAGAUAUUGUUUCCAUCAUAUUACCAUUUCAACAUUGAGUUUUCUCAUGGCUAGGAAUUAUCUAAAAUACUCAGGCAACAGAACCAAGGAGAGCAGCAGGGGAACUUUCUAGUUUGGGAUAUCAAUUGCGCAACAUGCAUAUCCACCUCAAUAAGCAGGUAGAAGAAUGCGGUUUACAAAUAGGUAACUUUCAAAUGUUCUGACGUUAAGUUGCAAAAGCACAUCUUCUAAUAAAAUGCAACACUCAUCUCAUAUGUUUCUUCUCUGUUGUUAUACCAACAGAGGGAGAAAUCUAUCAAAAACUUAGAAACAUUAACACUGAGACUCAUGAAGACAACCAAGAGGUACUCCAACUACUUUUUUCUCUACAAGAUGAUGUGGUACUUCAACAAUACUCCAGACAGGUAUAAAGAACCAUCUUUUUUCUUUUUCCACGUUCCUUCUUUUUGAUCUUUUACUUUAUAAGUUUUCAUCCUCUAAAUACAUCCUAAAAUAGUAAAAUAAAAGAUGCAGUGCAGCAUUCUUCAGUAUGAAGAUACAUAGACAGAUUCUUUUACCUUUCAAGACAAGAUUAUUCAUUUGAUUCAAUACUCUUUUAACAUCCAAUGGCAGAUAAGUAUAACUGAGCUGAAAGAAAAGGUAAUAUUGCUGCUAUUAUCAAAGCCAGAACUCUUACCCAUAGAGCCAUUUCACUUCCUGCUUCAACAGUUAUAUGAUCGUCCAUCCAACACCAACACAGAGCAAAACUAUGAAAUCUUAUGGAUUCCAAUACCAACAUCCCAAAAAUGGACAGACGAAGAGAAGAAAACCUUCAAUUUCUUUUCCAAUUCACUUCCAUGGAUCUCAGUAAGGCGCCCAUGGUUGAUGAGCUCCACAGUACUGAGAUUUUUUUAAGAACAGAAUGGCCGUAUAGAGAUGGUGAGACGAUGGUGGUGGUCAUGGAUCCUAAUGGGAAGGUUGUGAACAUGAAUGUCAUGGAUAUGGUAUUGAUUUGGGGUGUUAGGGCUUAUCCAUUUUCAAUUUCCAGAGAAGAUAAGCUUUGGGAAGAAGAUGGAUGGUCCUUGCAGCUCUUGCUUGAUGGCAUUCAUCCUGCAUUUGAAACAUGGGUAAACAAACCCUUUUUAAAUUUUUCAUCAAGCUUCAAAAUUUUUUUCAUUCUUAUGAUCGGAUUGUGAAAUCAAUACUUGAAUUCAUCAAACUCUACGACUCACAGGUGAAAGGUGAAAGAAGGCAGAGAAAUCUGCAUAUUCGGAAGCGACAAUUUGGAUUGGAUAGACGAAAUUACGUCACUAUCACGGAAACUUCAAAAUCACAGAUUCAAGUUUGAGCUGAUUUACCUCAGCAAACGCACAAUAACCUUUGCAUCAGCCAUGGAAGAGAGCUUCAUCCUGUUCAGUCCAGAUAUACAACAACUCUUCAGGCUCCGAUUAGAAAGCAUCAAACGAUCUAAACUCAAGCGAAUUGAAUCAUCGAAGCCCGAUCGCGUGUUUGAAGAAGUCACCCAACUACUUGACUUCGAUUACAGUAAACACAAGGGUUGGGCCGUCAUCGGAAAGGGAUCAGCGGCUGGGACGGAGAAAAUCGUCGGAGAGAAUCUGACGAAGAGGAUGAGGCGGAUCCUGCGGUGGGGAGAGUACGCUUCGGGGCUGGUUUCACGGAGGCGAUUCAAAUCGCGGAGGAGAAGCCGUGUGAACAGAGUCACACGGUGGUGGUUCUGUUUGAGGAAGGUUCGUUGACGAUGAAAGUUGUCACGUGCGAGAAAUGCAAAAGGCCCAUGAAGAAGUUUGUCGCCUAUCAGUAACUCAAAGGCCCGUUAGUUUAACAUUACAGACCCAUUAAUAGUUAUAUGGUUUUAUAUUCUUGCAAUAACAGAAGAAAUCUAAACUCUGGGUUGCUAUUGAAGAAUAAUAUGAUUUUGCAAUUUGAAUACAAAUCAAUUCAAAUGUUUUUGAUUGAAUGUUUUUGUUGUAGUUGUUGGAAUAAAGUGUUGGGUCGGGUCGGUUUGGUUUAAUUCAAUUUAUGAGACUUUAUUUACUUGCUCAUUUCGAUUACUAAUUUUAUUUUGUUAUAUCUUUUCAUCAAAACCUGGAAAAAUCCUUCCUUAUCCAAAAUCCAAAUGAGAGACAAUUCGGUUUCGUUUAAUUCAUUUCCACAAAUUUUGAAAACAUCCCAUGGGGCAUGUUGGAUUAUUGAGACAAGCAAAACAUGUUCCACGAGUGGGAACAUAAAGAGAGUCUGGAAAUGGAUAACUAUCACCAUUUCAUGCUGUUUGCAAGAUACUCUGGACAAGAAAGCAGCACGAGAUUUAUUUGUUUCAGAUUCAGAACCUUCCUUGAGACUUGCGUUCCCACCAUUCCAUGAACUUAACUUGAGCCGCCAUCGUGUCCAGCUUGUAGAGUUGCAGCGUGUGGUUCGCGACUUCUUGCCCAAAGGUCCAACCAAAAACACCCCCUCCUAAGAACGACAAUGCAGCACCUGUCAUAACAAAAGAUCCGAACACAGCAGUUUAGUAUUUAGUAACAUGUAAAGCCCCAAUGAGAACUGCAUAACACUUGCAUAACGAGUGAGGGUUAUUCACAGAGAGAAAACGCCCUACCAUGUGGACUCCUCGAGUAUUUCCAGGCAAAAGCAGCAGUAGAUACAGCUCCAAGUGCAGCUCCAGUAACACCAAAAGUCGCAGCUUCCCUAGCAGUUUUCAGCUGAAAACGGAUGAACAACAAAUGUUAGCCAAACUUCCUUGAGGACCAAAACUUUCAUAUCUUCAGCAAGAAUACCAAAUUACGUACCUAUGGGAUGAAAUUGAGUAAGAAAUCAAACAAGAAAUUCUAAGAGUCCCGAGAAAAGGGUAAAUAAUUCUACAAAAGUUUUGAUAGCAGCUCAUUUGAUUUCUUACGGAACCAAAACAUGAAACUUGGGGGGCUCUAUGAACCCUUAAUACAACUAGAUUCCUUUAUGCUUAUCACAUUCUUCCCUACUCUAUUAAACUCUGAAACUCAAGCUUCUUCACUCUCCUACUCGGAUCAGUUUCAUACAUCCAAUAUCUUAAAAAUGAGGGGAAAACAUACCACCACAUCUGAUAACCUAAUGCUUAUCCAAUAUCUUAAACUCACAAGCUGAGAAUCAAAAGUCCAGAUUAUUUCUGUUCUCAAUUUUUUGCUAGUUUUAAAUGUAAACCCACGAAUGAUCUAAGCCAAAAUCCUACCCUAGACAUCACUGAUUUACCAUCACCAGCAAAAACUCCUAAUGGAAAUCAAAUGAAGAAGAAGAUAGCGAACGGGAAAAGCAAUCAGAGAGCAACACAAGGCAAAAGGAGUGAAUCCGGAGCCAUAGAUAGUGGAUUAAACAACAAAUCGGAGAGGAAGAGAGUGAGAGAGGGGCAUACGGUGGGUCCAUGAACGGGAUCGGAGGCAAUGAACUCGUCGACGUCGGAGGAAGACCAAGAAGGAAGAGGCGUGUCGCGUUUAGUGAACCUCGUGUAAUUUUCCAGGAAAGCGAACCUCUCCCCCCAGAAACCCUUGAAUCCGUUCCAAUAUUCCCCCAUCUUUCUCAGAUCGAAAUUCCCCAGGAAAAUAUCAGCUUCCAAAGAUCUAACAAAAUAAAUUUCAUCAGGAAUCCACCAUAGAUUUCCAAAUCAAUCAACUGAAGUGGCAAUCGAACAAUAAAUCCAGACUUCCUACUUUUUUCAGAAAAUGCAACAAAUUGGACAGUGAGAUAACAUGUAAUCUCCGGAAUCAGAAAACUGCAGAGAAAGAUUGUUCAAGCGUCAAAGCUUAACCGAGAAGAAGAAGAAGAAGAUACCUGGAGAUCGACUCUUCUUCUAUUAUUUGGUUCGUUAUCGGAGAAUUUCUUUGUUUUCAAGCCAGAUUCCUCACUCUCAAUAAUCAAAAUCAAAACAUCGGUCAUUGCUUCGUGAUGGGUCGGGUCGGUUUUCUUCAGCUGUAUCUACUGGGUUUUACUUGGCCCAUCUUUGACUUCAAUUUUUAAUUGGGUUUUACUUGGCCCAUCUUCGACUUCAAUUUUUUUAAUUUACUAAUUAGACAUUUACUCAAAUUAUCUCAAAACAUUCGUUGGGGAAAAUAUUGUGGCUUACUGAGACAAGCAAAACAUGUUGCAUGAAUGAGAACGUAAAAAGGUAAAAAAAAAAAACCCUAUAUAUAGACCAAGACUAUCAUGUUUUGUUUUGAAUUCAAAUUUAAAACAAAGUGUUUUACCCCAAAAAAAAAAAAAAUUUAAAACAAGUGCAAGUGACUGAAAAUAUUUAAAGCAGUGACUUGUUCCGUGAGAUAAAUAUUUUUAGUUUGUUUUUAUAGCUAACUCUUGUGAACUUUAAAUAUUAUAUGUAUGUAAAAGGAGAGAGAGUGAGUGGAGACUAUAUGAGGGAGAGAAAUUGUAUUAUUAACUUCGUUUAUAUUACAAAAGGAAGAUGUUCCUCUAUUUAUAGGGAGGAUGGCAGUUAUAAAGAAAAUGUAGUUAUUACCACAUGUAGGUAAAUGAAGGGUAGGUAAAAGUUGAGGUGGGAUAUUAUUUAUAUAACACUUUCUCUUGAUUAUCCAUCAAUAAUAAUAUAUUACGUAUUACCUUGUUAAAAACCUUAUUAUGGAAAAACUCAUUGGGAUAAAAACCAUGACAAAGGAAAAAGAGUACAGCAACAUAAUCUCUCUCUGGAAAUGAUGGAUAUAAAUUUCCUUCAUAGGUCUCGUAAUCGGCGCAUUCCGAUAUUAUGAACAUGUUUUUUGAAUGAUGUAGUGGGAAGCGCCUUUGUAAAGAGAUCUGCUGCAUUGUCGCUUGAGCGAACAUAUUGGAUAUCGACUUCCUGAUAUUUCUCGAGUUCUUGAGUGUAAGAGAAAAACUUUGGAGGAAUAUGUUUCGUUCGAUCAAUCUUGAAGAAGCCUUCCUUGAGUUGAGCGACACAUGCAGCAUUAUCUUCGAACACUUUUGUUGGUUCCAUAUCGAUGACUAUUCCACUUGCACCUUGUGUAUGUUGAGUCAUAGAUCGGAGCCAUAUGCAUUCUCUACAUGCUUCAUAGAGAGCAAUGAUUUCCGCAUAAUUUGAAGAAGUGGCGACCAAAGUCUGUUUUUGAGAACGCCACGAGAUCACUGUUCCACCAAUUGUGAAAACAUAUCCAGUUUGCGAUCGGGCUUUAUGCGGAUCUGAUAAAUAUUCUGCAAGUAGAUUGAUAGCAAAAGCUAUAUCUGGUCGAGUACAAUUUGCAAGAUACAUAAGCCUAAUACGUUUUCGCUAUCUUCACAAGGUCGAAAUGGAUUCUUGUUAAUAUCAAGUGAUCUAUUGACCAUUGGAGUACUCAAAGGAGUUGCUUUAUCCAUUUUAAAGCGUUUUAACACCCUUUUGGUGUAAUGUGACUAAUAGCGCUCAUAUAAGGUACUUCAGGACCUAAUACGUUUUCACUAUCUUCACAAGGUCGAAAUGGAUUCUUGUUAAUAUCAAGUGAUCUAUUGACCAUUGUAGUACUCAAAGAAGUUUCUUUAUCCAUUUUAAAGCGUUUUAACACCCUUUUGGUGUAAUUUGACUGAUGCACAAACAUUCCGUCUUGGAAAUGCUCAAUCUGAAGCCUUAGACAAAAUUUUGUCUUUCUAAGAUUUUUCAUUUCGAGCUCUUCUUUCAUGUGAGUUCUUGCAUCAUCAAUCUCCUUUUGAAUUUCGAUUAUGUUCAGGUCAUCAACAAAUACAGCAAUGAUCACAAAUCCUGAUGAGGAUUUCUUAAUAAACACGCAAGGGCAUAUCGCAUUGUUGAUGUAUCCUUUACUCAACAAGUAUUCACUCAAGCGAUUAUACCACAUGCGUUCGGACUGUUUUAAUCCAUAAAGUGAUCGCUGUAAUUUGACCGAACAUAUGUCUUUAGAUGCUUCAGGCAUCUUUGAUCCUUCUGGGAUCUUGACUCCCUCUGGGAUUUUCAUAUACAUGUCACUAUCAAGUGAUCCAUAUAGAUAUGCAGUCACAACAUUCAUAAGGUACAUAUCUAGAUUUUUAGAUGCCGUUAGGCUCAUUAAGUACCUGAAUGUUAUUGCAUCCAUGACUGAGGAAUAUGUAUCUUCAUAAUCAACUCCCGGUCUUUGAGAAAAACCUUGUGCCACAAGUCGGGCUUUAUAUCUUGUGACCUCGUUUUUCUCAUUUAUUUUCUCAAAAAGACCCAUUUACACCCGAGUGGCAUUACAUCUUCUGGUGUAAUGAUUUUACGUCCAAAGACAUUUCUUUUAUUCAGGGAGAUUAAUUCAUUUCUCAUGACCAUCUGCCAUUUCUUCCAGUCAGGCCUUUUUGGCAUUCUGACACGGACCUUGGGUCUGGAUCAUCAUUUUUUAUUUUCAAUUUCUUUGGAUACUGAAAAGGAGAACAUUCCAUUUGUAUCAUUUAUCUCACUUCUAGCCCAUAAUGUCCCACUUUGGGCGAAGUUAAUGGAAGUCUCAUACUUUUCAGUAUCAUGUUCGUCUUCUGGACGAACUUCUUUAACUGGUUCUUCUGGAACCUCUUCAUGUAUGUCUUCAGGACAUAUUUCUCUAUAAGGUUUAGAACCUUAUUCUCAUAUGUCUUCAUGACAUUUUUCUUUAUUUGGUUCUUCUGGAACCUUGUCUCCCAAUUUCUUUUUUUUUCGAGGAUUUUUAUCCUUUGAGCCCAUCGGCCUUCCGCGCUUUAAUUGAACCUGCGGUUCAUUUGUUUUAUUCCCAUCAAUAACUUGUUCCGGAACAUUUAUUUUUGAUGGAGCAUUAGUAGCGGAGAUAUAUGAUUUUGUCACCCUUCUCGUAUCUGUGAACGCAUCAGAAAAAUUAUGGUAUUUUCUCCUUCCGGGUUGACUUGAGAAAAAAAGGAAUAAUUAACACCGACUUAUAACUGGUUUACCAAACUUUGCAAAUGUAUAACUUUCUGAACUUCCACCUCGCGUUGAUGGGUAGGGGGAUCGAGAUAAGCCAACGUUUGUGUACACUAUGUGAUAUCCUUUGGUGAUUCUCUUGAUCCUCCCCCAAAGCUGGGAAUUCAUUUUCAUCAAAGUGGAAAUCGACAAAACAUGUCGUAAACAUAUCUCCAGUUACCGGUUCAAGAUAUCUAAUUCUACUUGUUGAUGUAUAGCCGAUAUAUAUUCCCAAUCUCCUUUGUGGCCCCAUUUUUGUUCAUUGUAGCGGGGCUAUUGGGACAUAAACUGCACAUCCAAAAAUACGGAGAUGGGAUACAUUUGGCUCCUUGCUAGAUGUUAACUAUAUUGAGGAAUAUUCAAUAUAUGCACUUGGUUUCAUCUGGACCAAUGCCCCAACAUGCAAUAUCAUGUUCCCAUACAGUAAUUGGGAGUUUUGUUCUCAAUAUUAAUGGUCUUGCAAUCAACUGCAACCGUUUUAUCAAAGACUUAGCCAUGCCAUUUUGUGUAUUCACAUGGGGAACCGGAUGCUCAACAUCGAUUCCUAAUGACAUACAAUAGUCAUUAAAGGCCGCUGAAGUGAAUUCACCAGCGUUAUCACGCCUGACUUUCUUUAUGGUAUAAUCAGAGAAUUGAGCUCUCAACCUGAUUAUUUGGGCAAUGAAUCUUGCGAAAGCCAUAUUUCUUGUGGUCAAUAGACACACAAGUGACCAUCUAGUAGAUGCGUCGAUUAAUACCAUAAAAUAUCUAAAUGGUCUGCACGGUAGGUGAAUCGGCCCACAUAUAUCACCAUGUAUUCUUUCUAAGAAUACAGGAGAUUCAUUCCCAAUUUUGGCUGGCGAGGGCCUAGUUAUGAGUUUUCCCUGAGAACAUGUCUGACAUGAAAACUCUCCCGUUUAAAAAAUUUUGGCACUCGAAUUUUGCACAAUUCUUCUCAUCAUGAUUGAUCCAGGAUAGCCAAAUAUUUCAUGCCAUACUCUAAAUAUACUAGUAAACCUCGGGUUUACUGUAACAUAGAAUUCAAUCAUAUUUAUUUUUGUGCAAUAUAACCCAGAGGACAUCAUUGGUAAUUCUUCCAAUACAUGUUUCCUCUCAGAUGUAAUGCAAAGAUAUUCAAUGCCAUUCUUAUUUAUACAUGCUAUAUGAUAUCCAUUUCUUCGGAUAUCUUUAAAACUUAGCAAAUUUCUGCUAGAUUUGGGGGAAUAUAAUGCAUCAGUUAUUUCAAAUUUUUGUCCUAUUUGGCAUUGAAAAGUUAGCUCUUCUGGAGCGUAUUAUAAUAUUUGCAUUACCAGAUAUGGUAUUCACGCUUCCGGCGGAGUCAUUUAUUUUGAGACAUGAGAAAUAUUUUUUUAUCUUUAAGUAUAGUAUGUGUCGUAGCACUGUCUGCUAGACAUGUAUCUCCAUCAUGUAUCUCAAACGAUGACAUGUUCUGAAUCACAAUAUGCAAGAAAAUGCAUUAAUAAACCAAAAACAUGAUUUUAGAAAUUAUUUUAUAUUAAGAAAAGUAUAUUACAUUCUAAUUUAAAAUUACAUUGGUUUUUCUUGUCUUCUUCAAGAAGACUUUAUAUUACAUCGAUCUUAAUCGCUUUGUUUCCGUUGAUUCUUCAGGAUCAACAAGGAAAUCAGCGAUAUCAAGAUGAGUAUAAUCAAUUAUGCCAUCAUAAGAAGGUCCAGCUUCAUCAGAGAUGAAAUUGGUAUCAAAAUUCUUUCCUUUAUCCUUUUCUUUGGCAUCUGGUGAUUCUCGGUACAGAUCGGCUAAAUGUCUUGGCAUACGACAGGUUUUUGCCCAAUGAUUUUUCAUGCCGCAUCUGUAACAAGCAGUUUCUUUUUGCUUUCCUGCUUCCCUACCAACAUCAUUUUGUCUUCCUCGUCCACGACCUCGUCUGCGACCACGGUUAUGGCCUCGACCGCGUCCGCGUCCACGUUCGGUUCGAUUAUUUUGACUAGAUGAUGCAACAUUUGCUUCUGGAAAUGGCGAUGAUCCAUUUGGACGAGUUUGAUGGUUUAACAUCACGAGCUGAUUAGUUUGUUCAGCUACAAGGAGGACUUGCAUCAACUCCGAGUAAGUGGUAUAACCUUUUGCCCAAUAUUGUUGUUGCAGGAUUACAUUUCCAGGAUGAAAUGUUUGGAGAGUUUUUUCGAUCAUGACGAAAUCACUUACCUCCUAUCAUAUAAUUAUAUUCACCAACACUUUUGUAAUCCUGGAACCGGAAGUUCAACCACUCAUGUUUGGCUUUCAGUAAGAUCACAUAUUUUUGGUGAUCAAACCGAUCUUUGAGAGAUUGCCAAAGAUCUGCAGGAUCUUAUUUCGUGAUGUAUUCUUCUUUUAAACUAAUGUGGUGGAGCAAAAAUGUCAUGGCUUUCGCCUUUUUCUCAUCUGAUGUCAUUUCCGACUUAUCGAUGGUAUCGAGAAGCCCGUUUCCUCUUAGAUGCAUUUUUGCACCUACUGCCCAUGACAUGUAAUUUUUUCCAGACACAUCAAGGACAGAGAUUUCGAGCUUCGCCAAAUUCGACAUUAUAACUGUAUAUAUAUCGUAAAUUUAGCGAGAUAUUUAAUUUAUAAUUUUUUUAAAGAAAAACAUGAUAAAAACUUUUGAAUAUGCAUAUAUAAUAAAAAUAUAUACUUAGGAAAUAUAGAAGGCAUAACCUUUUAUAUAAUUGAGGAGGCAGAGCCUACCAUAGUUUUAAAGGAGUAGGCAUAACCUUUCACUCUAUAUAUAAACAAGGAGGAGGUAUAACCUUCUAGUCCACAAAUAUAUUAUCAAAGAGGAGGCUUAGCCUUCCACUCUAAAUAUAUGAUCCGAGGAGACAUAGUCUACCAUAUGAUCAUAUGAUCGUGAAGGCAUAGCUUAUCAUACCGAUCGGUUUGAGGAAGGCAUAGCCUAUCAUCCCGUAAACUUGAAAACAAGUUGAACAUAAAUUUAAAUCAACAGUUCAGGGAAUGCAGAGCCUAUCAUCCCGAAAUAAUAUAUAAAUUUGAAAUAAAUUAAACAUAGAUUUAAAUCUUACAUCUUUGGUAUAAAAACGGAUUGAGAGGUGCUCGUGCUGAUAACGUCUUGUAAACUUUAAAUAUUAUAUAUAUAUAAAAGGAGAGAGAGUGAGUGGAAACUAUAUGAGGAAGAGAAGUUGUAUUGUUAACUUCGAUUACAUUACAAAAGGAAGAUGUUCGAUUACAUUACAAAAGGAAAAUGUUCCUCUAUUUAUAGGGAGGAUGGUAGUUACAUGGUUAUUACCACACGUAGGCAAAUGAGGGGUAGGUGAAAAUUGAAGUGGAGAAUCAUUUAUAUAACACUAACAAAAUGUUAGGAAAUUUUUGGAUCAUGCUCUUUUGAACGAUUUUGUUUUUAUAUUUUUCUUCUUCUAGAUCUGAAUAUAUCAGAGAGAAGCUUCACUUAGGACUAAAUUAAGAAUCAGAUUUACAUCUUACAUUUUUUUUUGUGAUAAGCUCAGUAUACAUAAGCUAAUAGUCAUUUUCCUUAAUGAGAAACAUAAAGAAUAUGAGUGAAAUCCAAAAAUAAAUAAGAACAGGUUUAUACAAUCAACUUAUUAACUCAGUCAUACUUAAACACAGAUGAGAUUAUACUUGUUCCCAAGUGGACUAUUCUAGUAGAUGAAAGCAUCCAUCAAACAUGCUCCUAGUAAAUAAAAAUAAUAAAACAGGAACAUGAAACAGAAAUAAUGAUGCCUUAACAACAAAAUGAAGAUUAGUAUUAACAAUCAUGAAAACAAACAAAAAUAACUUACGCAUCACAAAAUCAAGUUCCAAAAGAACUUCAUAACAAUCACUAGUAAUAAUAGUGGAGGAAGAGAAAGUAAGGGAAAUGACAAACAUAAUAAACUAGUGAAAUCAAAAAAUAAAUAAGAGUGCAAUCAACUUAGCAACCUCAAUGAUAACUAAACAUAGAUAAGAUAAAUUCAUUAAAGAAGAUAAUAAAAUUCUUCCAAUAAUUUGAAGCUAAAAUGAGAAUAACCUGUAAUUUAUGUGAUCAUUUCAGUAUAUCUCAAACCAGUAAAGAGCCGAUAUUAUCUCAAAAUAUGAGUGCAAUCCAAAAAUAAAUAACAAUUUUAAAAAAAAAACAAUUAAAUGAAUAACUUAUGCACUACAAAAUCAAGUUCCAAAAUAAUUCCAUAACAAUAACUACUGAAACGAGCACUCAAAAAAUAAGUGAAGGGCAAUGAGAAGAAUAAAGAAUAUGAGUGAAAUCCAAAGAUAUAAGAACAAAUUUUAUACAAUCAACUAAUCAACUAAGUAACUCAGUCAUACAAAAACACAGAUGAAAUUAUACUUGUGCCUAAGUGUACUAAUCUAUUAGAUGAAAGCAUCCAUGAAACAUGUUCCUUGUAAAUAAGAAUACUAAAACCAGGAAAAUGAAACAUAAUAAUGAUGCCCAGACAUCAAAAUGAAGAUCAGUAUCAACAAUCACGAAAACAAACAAAAAUAACUUAUGCACCCCAAAAAUCAAGUUCCAAACUUACUUUAUAACAAUCAACUUAAGAGUGCAAUCAACUUAGUAACACUCAUAAUUAAACAUGAAAGAAAAUGACAAAAUGCUUCCAAUUAAUUAAACCUAAAAUGAGGAUAACCUGUAUUUGUGCUGAUUCAGUAUUAUCUCAAACCAGUAAAGAGCCGAUAUUUGCGUUUUUUUCCUAAAGAGAUACAAGAAAGACGAACUCUAUCAUGACUACAAAGAGAAGUAACAAAGUCACAAAAUAAUAAAUAAGCAUAAUAAGAGUGAACGUUAAGGGAUAGAAUUAGUUGAACGAUUCCUAAAUAUUCUCAGAACAGAAUGAACAUCUGAUUAAAUGCAUUGUAACAAACCUUUGCUAACGAAGAACACCUAAAUGAUAGAGCCAAAAGUGCCAGAAGUUGUACCAGUAUCAGAUGAAACCAUAGCCAAAGCUUCUGAGCAGGCUUUAAAGAUCUUCAGAUGCGAGAAGAUCAUACUAAUCGUUAAUCUUUUGUUCAGAUAUAACGAUUUCAACCUCUGAUUUAGAUUUCUCCCCACCUGAUGAAAGAAGUUCACAACCUUGGAAAAGCUUAUGGUAACUAUAAUCAUCACGCCACUUAGUUAUGGCAAACGCAAUUCAUUAUCAGCGUUCAACGAUCCCAAAGUCAUUUGAAACUUACGAAAGUUACAGCCAUUUGAUCUUCUGACCUCUUGCACAAACAGAUGUUGUCAGUAUCACCAAUCAGGAAAAAGCCUGAAACUGUCAAGGUUAAAAUAACACCGUUAUAAGGUACAACAAAAAACUAGCGGAAAAUGGAAAAGAGUAGCCCAAAGAUUCGAAUAACAAACAUGACAUAUCACUUAUUGUGUUAAGAAAUGAGAACAUGAGAGAAUCAGUCGAUGCAAAUCAAUUUAAGGCCACCUUAAACAGGUUCUCAUAAAAGGCAGUUUUUGUCGCUACAAAAACAAACAAGAAGACAACCAUAGUUUUAUCAAACAUAACAAAACAAAGUAUGCAAACAAUACGAGGUUUCAUGGUAGAAAUUAUGGAAAGUACAAUCAUCGUGUCACUUAAUUAUGGCAAACGAAGUUCAUUAUCAGAUGUCCCAAAAUCAUUUGGAACUUGAAUUUACCGCCAUUGAUCUAUCCUCUGACCUGCAUAGCCAGAUCUUUUUUAAAUCAACAAUAAAAAAAAAAAAAACUGAAAAGAUUAAGAUACACCUAUUAUAAGGUACCAUGGAAAUCUAGUGGAAAACGGAAAAGAGUGGCACAAAGGUCGUAAAAUGAACAAGACAAAAGUAUAAAUUAAACAUAUUGUGUGCGAAAAUGAGAACAUGAGAUCUCACGAAAUCACACGAACAAAAAAAAGAAGAAUAAGAAGUUGCAUCACCGAAUAAAGUUCACAAAAUAUCAGUUCCAAAAGUCCAUAAUAUUCACUACUGAAACUGUAAAACAAAGGAUAAUCACUUUGUGAUUAGUAUUGGUAGAAACUAUGUCAAAGAAUUGGAGGCAAAAUACACAAGAAGAAACAAAAAAAACAAACAAUAAUCCAGUGAGGUUAACAGUGACUAUAUACAUAUAAGACAUACAAAUCAGUAAUGGAAAAAAAAUGCAGAGGCAAGCGAUAAGCAAGAAAUCAAAUAGCUAUUCACCACAUUGUAAAGUUCAAAAAGACACAAAUAAAAUAACUUAAGCACCACAAAAUUACUCAACGAAAGUCACUACUGGAACAAGCACUCUAUCAAUAACUGGAAGAGAGUGUGAGGAGAAAUAAGGGAAAUCAAGAAAAUUAGAGAAAUACGAGUAAAAUCCAGAAACAAAUGUAGAUAAAGAUUAGAUCUACAUUGUGACAAAGUGGACUAAUCCAGUCGAUGAAAACUAUCCAUCGAGCAUAUUUCAUUGUCAAGUAAGAACAAUAAACCAGGAAAAUGAAAAAUAAAUGAAUACACCUAACAGGAAAAGGUAUCAACAAUCACAAAAUUAGAUCAUCUUUAGGUACUGAAUUAAGAUAAAGCUGCAUACAUUGGUAGAAUAUACCACCGCAAUCAUAUGGCACCCAAAAAAAAAAAAGACAAAGUAAGAGAUCAAAAGAAGUAAAGGCAUCAGAACACGAAACACACAAAAGACGAAACAAACAACCAAACAAAAGAGAUUAACAGGCACAGACAAAACUAAAUUUGUUCGGCACAGACUUGAAGGCAAAAACUCCACAGAGAAUCAAUAUCAUAAAACUUAAUAAUCGCAGUAAUCUAAACGGAUCAUAAAACAUAGAAACAGCAGAACUCAUGAGAAAAGAAGAAGAUAAUUUCAGAAGAAAAAAGAGUCACAACCUGCAGAGAAUCCACGGAAACUACAAAAAUCACACAAACUAAAUAAUUUACUAACGGCGAACGCAAUCACAGACAGUGAUUCGAAGAAAUUAAAACAAAAUAAUUAUCGAAAUUAGAAGAAGAGCGAAAUUCAAAGAGAAGCUGAGAACCACAAUCUCGAUCCGAUCCUAACAACGAAACACUAGAGAGAAGAGAAUUACUACGUAGAAGAAAUAAGAAGUAAAACGAGGAAGAACAGAGAGCCAUACAACAGAAUCCUUUAGAAAACUACCAGAAAUUGGAAGAUAUAAAAUCAAGAAUCUGAAGUGGAAUGAGGAAUCGAGAGGCACGACCUAGUCUUAAAAGCGAACCUCUUAAGGAAAAUAAAGAGCUUGAUAUCGUGGUUCAAAAUUCAAAAUCAGGGAGGAAGAUAUAUAGAUCGAUCGAAUGGACGUCUAGGAUCAAGAGGUGUGAACGGUGAAGAUUGAAACAUUCAUUGACCGUUGAAACCAUCUCUUGCUCCCUGAUUAUUUAAUUACUAAUUUACCCAUUCCUUGAUUUUUUCUUUUCGACAAACAAUUUAUUGAUUUCAAGUUAGAAUUACAAAAGUUAUACAAAAUUUUUGAAAAACAAAUUAUUACAUAAGUAAUAUAUGCGUCAUAUAGUAAAAAAGAUACAACAAAAAAAAGUAAUUAUGACGAUGAUUUCUGCAGUCAUAAUAGUUUUUUUUUCUUCUAUCCUACUAUUAUAUCACUAUUGACCUGUUAAGGGAAUGGUCAGGAAGAUCCUUUGCAACUGAUUCGUUAUGAAUGAUUUGGGAAAAGAUAAUACCUUUUGCUCGAGCUCCUUUCGCUAGACUAUCCGCUCGGACAUUUGAACUUAUGGGAAUAUGGAAAAUAGUGAAGUCCAAAAAGCUCUUUCGUAGGAUCCGGAAGAUUUUCAACUCUGAGAGGAAGGAUGACCAAUCUGAUGGCGACUCUGCCAUGAUCCAAGCAGUUGGUCUGAAAGUGAACUGAUAAAAUCUAUCUAUGGUUUUGUAAACGUUUAUUCAUAUAUUAAUCAAUUAGAACUUAUCAUAUAUAUUAUAAGCAAAGUAAAAUUUUGAGUUAAAGCUCUCUCAUUCAAUUUCAGAGUGGUUAAUUACCCUUUACCCCUCCUUAUAUUUUUCUAAAAUAAAAUUUAAUAAAAAAAUUAUUAAAAAUCGAAAAUUAAUAAAAUUUAUUAUUAAAAAUCGUAAAUUAAUAAAAAUUAUUAAAAUCGGAAUUUUAUAAAAAAAUAUUUAAAUUUUUAAAAAAUAUUAAAAAUCGUAAAUUAAUAAAAAUUAUAUAAAUCAGAAUUUAAUCAAAAAACAUUUAAAUUUUUAAAAUUUAUUAAAAAUUGGAAUUUAAUAAAAAAAAAACAUUAAAAUCAUAUCAUAUAUACUAUAUGCGAAGUAAAUUUUUCGCUAUAAGUUCUCUUAUUCAAUUUAGGUGACUAAUCAUCAUAAUAUAUAUUAAAAGCGAAGUGAAUUUUAGCUUUAAAUACCUCUCAUUCAAUCUCAGCGUGGUUAAUUAUUUUUUUGUCCCUUUCUAAAAGGUCAUUAAUAUCCUUUAAUUGGUUAAAAUUUAGUCUUAUUUAUAAUUAACUAUACUAAAUUUUGUUACCAUGAAGUUAAUAUUGGAUCUUUUAAUGCUAUAAAAUUGUAUGGUUUUGUAUAUGAAAGCCCCAAGGCUCUCACUUUAGCCCUAAUCUCCGAUUAGUCAGAGCUUCUUCUUCAACCGGUGGUUUCUGUGUUUUGACGUUUGAGUUGUAUUGCUUUAUUAAAAUUUUUGAAUUAGGGUUUUCUGUUUAAAAGCUUUGGGUCUGUGUUCAUGAUGAAUGAGGACGAUUGAAUAUUUAAGCUUUGCAAUUAAUUUCCAUCGAUAUUGCUCUAUAAGUCUAUGACCGAUCGGAUCCCAUACUGUCUAUGCUCCUCCAUCUCAACUUUGUUUCUGUUUUUGGAAUGUGUCUGGUUUAUCCAAAAAUAAUUUUGCUUCGGACUUGAGAUUCUGUUUGGAUUUCAUGUUUAAGGUGUAUUCAUCUCAGUUAAAUUUUGAGGAAUCAAAGUGAUGCUAAUCAUACUGAUUUAGCGUUGUUUAUUGUGAUGUCGAGUUAUAGUGAAGAAUAUAUUCACAAGCAUAAAAUCGUAGCAAUACAAAAAAAAAAAUUCACAAGCAUAAAAAAGACCAUAUUAAACGAGUUUCUAAUGUUCUCUAAGCCAAGUCGAAUUGAUCGCUCUGCUUCUUCACUCUAAUUAUAGUAAAGACUGAAGAAAUCGUUGGAAUAAAGAUUUCGAUGAGCCCGUGACUCUUGCCCCAACCAGACUUUCUUGGCCUUGCGAAAUACAUGGUUAUUCAAGGUGAACCAGGAUGAUGCAUAAUGGAAUAUAAAUGGGAAAUUAUUGAUUAAAUUUAAACAAACUAGACCAAUCAGGGUUUUAAAAUUAUAUUUUUCAUGUUAAAUCUUGUGGAAUCGUUGAACAGAAAGUGUGAUUUCACUAAAGACUGUUAUUGGUAAAAUCUUGCAAUCAUGCUAAUUAAGGAAUAUUAGUAAUGACACUUUCACUGAGACUUUUGUUAUAACAUUUUUCUUAAACGGACCAAAGUAUUUAUGUGGUUGAUUUUACGAUUGGAUAAUGUAGGAGGGUCUUGAAUUGGACAUUUGCAUAUGGAUUCUACCUUGCUCAUAAUGAACAUGCAAAGACACAAUUUUUUCGAGUAUUUGAAAGAGGCUUCAUCAUUGUGCAGAGAUGUAGUUGGAACAGUUUGUCUCCGGAACUAAUGAACCAUCCAAAAGUUUCAAUGAUUUCGUUUGACUAAAGUAACCAAACCUACUUCAAAAAACACGUGAAAGCUUUGGAGAAUGGUCUUGCUGAUGUGGAACACAAUGAAAGCACAAAUCAACAACAGACUCUAGAUCUUCUUUCAAAUGACAAAGUUUGACAAGGGUCUAAGAAAGAUCCAAGUGGUAAGUGAGAGGUCUUUCAGCUUCAGAUUUAUAUUAUUGGUGCAAAAAACCGUAUGGUUUAUUGCAAGUGGUAUUUUCCAAAUUAAGGAUCAUAUCAAGUAUUCGGUUUACAAUUCGGAGGGACAUGUGAAAAAUUGUAAGUUUAUAGUAUUGAGAAGCUAUUGGUUAAGAUAAAUAAAGAAUAGAUUUUUUUCCCCUAAAAAAAAACUAUAGCAUCACUACGCUAAUUAAAAGAUUUUUACUUCUUUCAAUGCCUUAUAGAAAAAAUAUAUCUCAUUAUGUAAAUCUCAAUAACAGAGUAUAUUGGUAAAGUUUUAAAAACCAGGAAAUAGUCAAGAUAAUACCAGUAGGUACCUUACAUAACGAUCAAAGGGAAAGUGAGUAACUCCUAUGAGAGAGUCAUCUCAUUUAUGAUUGUUUAAGAAUCUAAUAUUUUAAAAAAAUUAAUCACUGGAAGAAUAUAUGUCUCAAAUAAUAAAUAAUUCAUUAUGUGAAGAUUAUUCUUUCUACAAAAUAUAAGAAGUGAAUACAGUUCUAAUUUUUAUGAUUAAAAAUUAAAACAUGUUUUGUUACAUCAAGACUAUGUAUGUUCUGCAAUUACUUAAUAAUGAAAGUUUUACUUUGCCGAAAAAAAAAAAAAUAAAACAUGUUUUAGUUGUUUGGAUUUAUAUAUAAUUUUGGAAUUACUUUUUAGGCAAUAAAGAAUAACAACUUUAAGAGUGACUUGGUUUCAGCUUCCAAACUAUAUUUCAACUUCGUUUUAAGAGGAGAGUUCAUAUUAGAAUACUCGGAUAAUAUGUGUCUAUGUUAUCUUUGUGCUUCACUUCGCAAGAUUUUUUGAAAUUGAUCGUUUAUACAAAGAUAAUCAUGCCUAUAAAGAUGUGAAAAUAUACAUCUGAAAACUUCCAAACUUCCAAAAAUAAAUAGUAGAAGAAAAUACGAAGAAGGAAUAAAACUAAAAAAGAAGAAAAACACAAAGAAAAAGUCUGUUUAUUUAAUAUUUUAUAUAAAACAAUAAGAAAUUGAAAAAUAUAGACUAUAUAAAGAAUAAUAGGAAGAAAAAAUAUCGAAAGAACAAUACAAAAAGAAAUUGAAAGAAAAGAUGAUGUUUCCGUCCGCGCAACGCGAUUUUGAGUAAGUUUUUCAAGUAAAUUAGCGAUUUUGAGUAAGUAUUUUUAAUGAAACAUUUCCGUCCGCACAAGGUGCGGGCUAAACACCUAGUAACAAAAAAAACAAAGAAGAAAUAAAACAAUAUUUAUUUGAAUUUGAUUAUUAAACUAUGAUCAAAUGUACAAAAAUUGACAAUGUGUCGAUAGAUAUUCUUUAUUUUUUUUUAAAUUAACCUACUGAAAAACAGUGGCAGAUUCAAAAUAUUUUUACAAAUUGUAGAAAAACAUCACUUUAAAUAGGCAAAUAUCAUCAAAUAAUUUUUUAAAAAAAUCAUAAACAUUUGUUAUAUAUUGUAAACAAAAAUAUCGAAAUUCAAAAUCUCAGAUAAUUAUGAAAACUUUUAGUGAACAAACCAAAUGUCCGAGUUAAAAUAAGCUGACUUAGCUGAGAUAAAUUUAUCUAGUGUUCGACACGUGGCAUUUACACGAUAAGCUGAGAUAAUCUGCAGUAGUAACACACAGUAGUUAGGUGAAUGUUUCCGCACUAGAUCCUGCCUCAUUACACCAACUUAUCGCAUCUCCCUCUUCUCAAACGAGGCCGAGAAAAGCAGCGGAAAGGAGCUUACGGCGAGGGAAGAUUUAUCCGACAACAAUGGUCAAGGUUUUGACUUACUUUGGUAUGACAUUAGCUGCUUUCGCCUUCUGGCAAUCCAUGGACAAAGUUCAUGUCUGGAUCGCUCUCCAUCAAGACGAAAAGGUUUGAUUCUCUUCCGGACUCAUCUAUCUUUUCUCUCUUGGUGUGCAAUACUGAAAUCUGACACCUUUUGAUCUUAAUUUCGCCGUCAAUUGCAUAAAUUUCUUCGAUUUUGAUUCAUUGUGACUCCGGAUCUGGGAUUGAAGGUCAAACCCAAAACAAUCGAAUUUAUAUAAUUGACUGAUUGUAUUUCUCGGUUAUAAAAAAUGGGUCUUUUGUUCGUUUUCCCGUGUUGAAGAACCAUGUGCGUCGAUCUAAAGGGAAGAUUUUUAUGUUGAUUUGAUGAUAGAACGCCAUGGAAUCUUGGUUAGUUGCGUUGUGUUCUUCAGUCUCUGCACAUCAAUACUAGUUGUUAUGAGAAACUUUAUCAUUGAUGAAAACUUCAUUUGACUCAAUGCUAGAUGAUGGAAUGUUGGGUUUUUGGAGAUAGAGAAGAUGUUUAGGUCUAUUUGUUUCGUUUUUGAUAGUCAUCGUUUAAGAUGUGAUGAUUAGGAGCUAAGCUUAACUUUUGAUUUGUUUACUUUAAUCUGUGAUAUUCUUUUGCUCAAUCUCUACUCUUGAUUAUGUAGUGAUAAGCGAUAUGAAACAGCUCACUGAUAUGUUAUUCUUGGAGUUGAGUAGAGAUUAGUAAUUGCACUUGAUUAGGAGCUACGCUCACUGGUUGCACUUGAUAAAAGUAGUGAUAAGUGAUAUGAUAACAAAACCGUAAUUUAUAUGCAGCAAGAAAGAAUGGAGAAGGAAGCGGAGGUAAAGCGGGUUAGAGCAGAGCUGCUAAGGAAAGCAAGAGAGGAGGAUCCUCUUGCCUGAUCUUCUUCAGUUAUGUUUUGGCUCUCUGAUCACAUCAAUGCACUUCUCCUUUACAUUUUUUUUCUUAACUGUUAUGGACCCAAAUGGAGUUUGCAUAAAAACGACAGUGCCAUAUAUACGCUUUGAAUGUGAGAUGAUCAUGAAUAAUGGUUCCUUGUUGUCUCUCAACCAAUGAAUCACUAGUGGAGAAGUAUCAGGAUCUGCUUGCUUUUUGCCUUCCUAAAUCUGGUACUGUAAUUGACUAAUUGUGUAUCAUGGAUUCUGCGUUCAUGCACAAGUUAAGGAGGUUUCACAUGCCAGAUCCAGUUUCUGAUUCGUGUUCAUUGUUGGUUAACUAAGUAUGAAACAUUGGUCAAGUUUAAAAUGCAAUAAAGGUGUUGGCCCUUUAAAAGUUGUUAUUGGUUUAUUUUUAACCCUAAGCUGCCAUUAAUUACAAACCAAGCAGCAAAGAUGUUUAGCCAAACACACUCAAAAAACAGAAAUCGCGAUUAUGAAAUUGUCACAGCCCUAAGAAAACCUUGGAACCGGCAGUGAAACGAUAAUAAACUCACCGUAACCUUCAGAACCGAUAAAUAUCCAUAUAUGUCGCUUAAUGUGAAGACAAACACAACAUUUUCUUGCUACUUGUAAACACAUUCUCGCCACAAACACGGUUCAUCACUGUGUGUACAAAAAUGUUGACUCUCAAUUUGUAUCAUUGGUCCAUCCUUGGAAUCUUCCACUUUUGCUAAGGCAUCGUCGUCAUCGACUCCGAAAAUGACCGCAGCUUCAUGAACAUCGAGAGACGCCAAGGCAUUGUAGCGUUUUCUUCUCUCAUGAUUUUCUCACGUGAUUUAGGUUCUGAUUGGUAUGACUGUAGGCUGUAGGUUUUUAUUUUAUUUUACUGUAAAAUUUUUUAAUUGUGAAAAAAUGACUGUGCCUUUAGAAAAAAAAGCCAGAAUUGAAAGCUUUAUAAAAACUAUCAAUUCCAUGACCAAAAAAUAGAAAAAACUAGAUUCUACUACGAGAAAUUUUGGAUUUUUAAUCUAAUUUUAUAAUACAACUAGGUGUUUAGCCCGCGACUUGCGCGGACCAAAAAGUUUCAUUGAAACCUAAAAUAAUUAAAAUAUGUCAUAAAUCAAAAAUAAUUAGAUCAAGAAUUUGAUACAUACAAAAUUAAAAUAAAGCUAACCUAUGAAAGUAAUCAUUGUCUAACAUUAAAAACUUUAAAAUCAAUACAGUGUAUGAAAUCAAUAAACACAAAUUAAAAUAAGAUUAUAUAAAUUAUUCAUCUUUUUCUCUUUUUAUCUUUUAAUUUUUUUUUUCUCUAUCAUUUUUUCUUUCUUUUUUUUUGUUUUUUUUUGUUUUUUUUUCUUCUUUGUUUUCUAUGUCUUUUUUUUUACUUUUUCUUCUGCUAGUUUUUCUUUUUCACGUCUUCUUCCUCUUCUCCACAUCUUUUCAUUUUCCCUCUCAUACAUCUUUUGAUUUUCUUCUCUUCAAGGUUUUAUUUCCUUUUUUAUUCUUCUUCAAUGUUUUAUUAUUCUAUUUCUUCUUCUUUUUUUCUUUUCCUUUUUCAUUGUCAUCGUCUUCUUCGUUAUCACCGACUUCCUAUUCUUCUGGUGUUUUUCGGCUUUUACCUCAUCUUCAUAUUCUUUUACUUUAUCUAAUUCCUCAUCUUUUAAGGUUUUCAUCCAAUUUUUUCUCUUCCCUAUCUUCUUCUUCUUCUACUUUGCCUUCUAAUUUAUUUUUUUUCUCCUUCAACAGCUUCUUAUUCCUCUUCUUCCAGUUAUUCAUCCUCUCUCCAAAUUCUUCAUCAUAUUUUAAAGAUAUUUGUCUUAUCUGUCUUUUUACUCCUCUCAUGGUUUAUAUUUUCCUUUUUUUAGUUUUUUCCUUAUAUUUUUGAGUUAUUUUUUAUCGUUACUUGUUUUCAAAUUGUUCUUCUUUAUUGUCUUCAUUUUUUUUACUUCUUAUUCAUCUGAUUUGUCUUCAUUUUUUCAUCAUAUUUACCUUUUUCAACUUUGUCUUCUUCAUCUUCUAGUUUUCUUCCAUUUUAUUAUUUUUUCUUUCGUUUCCUCUAUUAUCUACUGGUUUUCUUUUAUGACUUCUUCUUCUGAUUAUCUUUUUUUCUUCUCCAAUUGGUCAUAUAAUUUUUUUUUGUUCAUCGUCAUCGACCUAUCCGACUAUUUAUCUUACUUGUUCACUGUAUUAUUUUUUGUUCAUAUAUCAUUGUUUUCUUAUCUUCACCUUUUUCUUUAUUUUUUAGCUUUCNNNNNNNNNNNNNNNNNNNNNNNNNNNNNNNNNNNNNNNNNNNNNNNNNNNNNNNNNNNNNNNNNNNNNNNNNNNNNNNNNNNNNNNNNNNNNNNNNNNNCAUUAGCCAUUUUUAUCUUCUGCUUUUUACAUCUUCUUGAUCAUUUUUGUCCUAUCCAAACAUUUUUUCUUUCUAAUUUUUGUUUGUCUUUUUCGCAUCUUUACUUUCUUCUUUUUUAUUUUCUUUUUCAUCGUCGGAUUUUCAUCUUCUUAUACUUUAUUUUCUUCAUCUACCAUUUUUGUUCUUCUUUUUCUUUCAGUUUUCUUCUUCAACUUUGAGUUCUUCAUCUCCUUAUCAUUUUUCUUCUUCACUAUUUUGUGUUACCCAUCUUGAUCUUAUCGUUCAUGGUCUAGGACUUUUUGUUCAUUUUUUCCUCAUUUUUUUACGUUUUCGUUAACUCUAUGUUCUUCUAUAUGUUUCAAUUUAUCUUUUUCUCUUCUUUUUCUACUUCGUUUUUCCCUUUUUCCUUUUUCUGUUUUCUUUUUCGAUUUUUUCCUCUGCGCCCUGCUAGUGUAUUUGGCUUCUCUUACAUUAUUCAAAAAAUAAACAGAAUUCAGAAAGUCAUACUUAAAACAAACAAAAAAAAGACUUAAAACCUGUUUAUUAGACAAUGAAGAUGAUUUAUGAUAUGUUGACAUGGUUUUAAUCACGUUAAGUAAGGAAGAAUAACUAACAACACAAAACAACAACAUAUAAUCAAGGAACACUACUACUGGUACUGAAAAACGGAAAAAACAAUAGAAAAAAAUCAAAAAAUUGAUUUAUAAAAAAUAAAGAUGGUAAACAAUACAAUGAAAAGCCGACCAAUGUAGAAACCAAACCACAAUUGAGCUUAAGAUACAUUUAAAAAAGUAAUAUAUUUAUAUAUAGCUCUCAACUUAAGCUAAGAUUUCCCACAUCACAUGUAUAUUUUUUUCCAGAUAAUCUUGCUCAACAGAUAAUCCGAUUGAAAUUAUCUUAAUAUUAUCAAAAUAACUAAAAGUGGCAGCAAAAUUGUUAUACAAACUACAAAAAUAAAUUAAUUAAUUAAGGAUAUUUAAAAAAAAAUUAUUAACGAAUAAAUGAGAAUUAGUUACCUAGAUUGAAUGAGAGACCUUAUAGCGAAAAAUUUACUUCGCAUAUAUUAUAUAUGAUAUGAUUUUAAAUGUUUUUUUGAUUAAGUUUCAAUUUUUAAAUUUUUGUUAUUUUCUAUUUUAAAUAUUAUUGAUUAAAUUUCGAUUUUUAAUAUUUUUUUUAAAUGUUUUUUGAUUAAAUUUCGAUUUUUAACAAUUUUUUAUUAAUUUAUGAUUUUUAAUAUUUUAUUUAAUUUACGAUUUUUAAUAAUUUUUUAAUUAAUUUAUGAUUUUUAAUAAUUUUUUUAUUAAAUUUAAUUUUUAAAAAUAUAAGGAGGGGUAAAAGGUAAUUAGCCACCCUAAGAAUGAAUGAGAGAGCUUUAACUCAAAAUUUUACUUUGCUUAUAAUAUAUAUGAUUUAAAUUAUAAUCAUCAUAUAUAUUAUAAGCGAAGUAAAAAUUUCAUUUAAAACUCUCUCAUUUAAUCUCAGGGUGGCUAAUACCUUUUACCCUUCUUUAAAUUAGUUUAAAUUAAUUUUUAUAAAAAUAUAUAUUAAAAAAACGAAAAUAAUGGUUUAAAUUAAGUGAACAUACCAUUAUCAUACCGUAUAUUAAAAAAAAAUCAAAAACAACGGUUUAGGGUUUAAAAAAUAAAUAUUUGGCGGCUAAUUACCCUUUACUCCUUCUUAAAUUAGUUUAAAUUAAGUUUUAUAAAAAUAUAUAUUAAAAAAACGAAAAUAAUGGUUUAAAUUAAGUUAACAAACCAUUAUCAUACCGUAUAUUUUAAAAAAAAAAAACCAAAAACAGUGGUUUAAAGUUUAAAAACAAAUACAUUUGCCUUAAAAAGACUGCAGAGUAAAGUAUCUGUGAUUCUUCUGAAUACUAAACUUCCCUGAAGGGCAACAACGAUUGUAUCUGGAUUUCUUCUGGUAUUGUUCUCUUUUAAAUAAAGUCAUACAAGUGUUGCAAGUUGCAGCAGAAGUAAUUAAUUUUCAGACAAACUUUCUUUCGAUGCCAAGAUUCAGGUUUUUUUUUUAAAAAGCUUGUCUUGGACCAGUUUGACUGCCGAGAAAACUGUGAAAGGAGAAAAAAAAAAGUGAUUUAGGAUUUCUUUAAAGCCAAGACGAAAGACAAAACGUCAAUAGGUUAAAUUACGCAAAUGAUCUCUAAAUCAUUUUGCAAGCUUAUAAGCUUCCAACAGAGGACAAGCUAGCGUAUCUUCUGGGUUUGUCUUUAGCCAUAUAGUUGAUCUAACAGUUUUUCCAGGUUUUGUCGAGAAACCAAGCUUCUGUAAUCAUAUGAUCAAAUCAAGGGGAAUAAAGGGAAAAGCUCUGGUUGAAUCAGAAAUUAGCUCCGGUUUCCAAAGUUGAUCAACAACCCAUCAGAGAAAAAGAGUUGAAAAAAAAUUCAAAUAGAGAAGUUAACAAAAUUGGUUGAACAAAAAGAAAACUUUCAACUGUUUAACAUUCAAAUUAAGAGAAUAUAUUUUUUGUUCUCACUUGGUGGGCGUCUUUUGACAAACAAGAGAGAGAGGGAGUGAUAUAUUAAAUUGUGUCUUAUCUAUUGAUGACCGACAAAACCAUUAGUUUUCAUGGAGUAUUUUCAACUGGGAAAAUGCAAAGAAAAAGUGAGAGACACUAGAGAGGGAGAGAGAUAGAUGGUCGAAAAAUAAGUAAAAGUGGAAGUUUUAUAGCCACAAAGUCGUGGCCUUAAGCUCCACAGAAGGGAAGAAGAAUGAAGAACACAGAGGUGAAUAUUUUCUCUGGCCAAUUACACAGAGGUGAUCAGUGUAUCAUACCAAGGAGACUUGGUUCCAAGGCAAAUGAAAAUAGCCAAAGCUUCCACUUUCCUUCCUGGUUGCUAGAGAUUUUUGUAACCGAUAUUAUAAAUUUAUAACAAUGUGCAAUGAUUAAAAACACAUGUCUAGUUCUAAUUCUUUGGCUAAUCUAUUAUAUGAUCGAUAUAUUCUAUAAGUCUUCUAUAAAAAGUUUUUUAGUUUGCAUGAUGAUAUAUGUAACGGAAGGAAGAAGAGUGUUGUGGUGCACUUUUUCUAUUAAUAUAUAGGUUCAUCUUUUUCUAUUAAAAUACCCAAAUUAAAAUGAAAUCCAAGCUAAACUAUAGGAAAUGUUCAUCUUUUUCUAUUAAUAUGUUUGAAAUUACAAAAAAUAUCUCCAAAAUACUAAAAAGAAAAUAAAGUAUAAGAAACCGAAGAAGAAAGAAAACCUAGCAAAUUUUGCCACAGAUAACAACCUUAGACGUUGGCAGCCUGAUUGGAUUCGGUUGCGACAUAUUACUUUGGUCGAGUGAAUUUCAUGGACAACAAAGAUGGUUUGGAUGUGGUAACAUGAAUCUGUUUUUGGGAUUUUAGGUUACGUUUAGUAGAAUUACAUGUACACGUGAUAUGAAAAGUUACCUAGCUUCACAGUGGGUCUUGUGUUUAACUACAUAACUUUGAGGAAAUUGUUUUAAAAGUUUGUGUGAGAGGGAGGAAGAGAGAGAGACGUAAAGAGAGAAGUAAAAGCCUUUAAAGACAUUUAUAUGGAGGGAAUGAGUGGGAGAGAGAAGGAUAGAGGGAAUGAGUGACAGAGAGAGAGAUGGAGGGAAUGAGUGAGGGAGAGGGAGCAAAAGAAAGGUGAAGCGCAAGAAGGAAAAUGCAUGGAAGACAAAGUAGAAGAAGGUAAAAAUGAGGAGAAAUACAAGAAAAAAAGACAAAGACGACAAAGAAGAAAAAUCAAACGGUAUAAAAUGGGGAAAGAAAGAAAACAAAGAAGUCACAUUUAUCUUAAUUUAGUUGGUUAUAGGUUUUAUAUACUUAUUUACUAUUAUUUUUUUGGUUUUUAGUUUGGAUGGUGUUUACUUUUUAGGAUUAGUUAUGUUUUUGAUCUCGUAUGUCUUAAAUGGGUUGUUCUAAUUCUUUUGUGUUUACAACUUUUAAUUUUUUUUUAACGUUUUUGAAACUUUUCGGCCUGCGCAAGGCGCGGGCUAAACACCUAGUUUAUAAUAUAAUCUAUACAAUUUUAUAAUCUAUACAAUUUAAAUUAUAUAAUUUAUACAAUAGAUAUAAUUUGCAUUUCCUGUUUUAUAGAUAUAUAUUUUAUAGAUAUACAAUUUGUUUAUAAAUUGUAUAAAUUGUAUUAGAAAAAAUGAUACAAUUUAUUUUUGUGUUUAGAUAAACUUUAUGUUUAAAAUUUUUUUUUUAAUAAAUUUGAUCACGAUUUAUAAAAAUAUAAUUUUAAGAGUCAAUAAGGUAGAUAAUACAAAUAUAGAAUGAAAUUAAGUAAAUAGCAAUGACAAGACUUUAAGCUAUAUAUACAGUGUUUUGUCGGUGGGUGUUUUACCCUUUAGCCCUUCUUUGUUUUCCUUUUUAUUGCUUAUUCUAUCAAUUAUAUAUUCUUUACGUGUUUUUCUUCUCUCUUCUUCUAGUUUCAGUUUUUUUUCAACCAUAGAGACAAAGCUUUCUAGUUUGAAAAAAAAAAAUCAAAAACAAACCCAGUAACAUUCAAGACUUCGAAUCCAUAGUUUCCUAACAAAGAUCCAACAAAUAUCCAACAAAUAAAAUUCAUAGAAUCCGACAAAAAUCAGGUGAAAUCCACAAUUUAGAUGAUAGCUAUGGACCCAUGGUGAUGAAAAGGAAAUUCACCUGAAUUCUUUGAAAAUUGUGAGUUAGAAUUGAGUAAAUUUAGUUAGAUGUUAAAUUCAAGUUGACUCAGUGAAUUACAUUCGAGUUAGCUAAUAGAUCUUCAUUGAUAUUUUUAUGGAGUCGACAAACUGAUAAUAUCAAAACUCUUAACAUAUUAGUUAUACAGUUAAAUAUUGUUAUCAGUCUAAAUUUUUUCUUAACGCAGUACGUUUAAUUAUACAUGUUAACAUAUAUAUUAUACAAUUGCAUAACAUAUUAUCAACUAUAUACUUUAUUAGCAUGUUAAGUUUCUGCAUUUUUUAACACUGAGUUGAUAAAUUUGGUUUGAUAACAUGAGAAUAUCUUAAUCGGUUAACAUAUAAGUGAUACAAUUACAUAAAAUGUUAUCAGUCUAAAUAAUUUUUUAGGUCGUUGCUUUUCAUCUCAUACAUGUUAACAUAUAAGUUAUACAAUCACAUAAGGUAUUUUGCAAUUAUAUAAUAUGUUAUCGUGCUAAAUUUUCUUUUUUUUACACCUAUGAAUUGUUAUAUUUGGCUGGUUGAGUACCACAUNNNNNNNNNNNNNNNNNNNNNNNNNNNNNNNNNNNNNNNNNNNNNNNNNNNNNNNNNNNNNNNNNNNNNNNNNNNNNNNNNNNNNNNNNNNNNNNNNNNNNNNNNNNNNNNNNNNNNNNNNNNNNNNNNNNNNNNNNNNNNNNNNNNNNNNNNNNNNNNNNNNNNNNNNNNNNNNNNNNNNNNNNNNNNNNNNNNNNNNNNNNNNNNNNNNNNNNNNNNNNNNNNNNNNNNNNNNNNNNNAUACAAUCACAUAAGGUAUUUUGCAAUUAUAUAAUAUGUUAUCGUGCUAAAUUUUCUUUUUUUUACACCUAUGAAUUGUUAUAUUUGGCUGGUUGAGUACCACAUUGAAUCUAUUUUAUGUAAUAAUAAGGUAUCUAUUUUUCUGAGGCAAGUAAUUUAAAUCUGAGAAAAAACUUUGGUGAGAUUCCUACAAAUGUCACGGAAAAAAAAAGAGAAUGAAGCCUCAUAUAAAAAGAGAAAAAAAAGAGAGAGAGAGAAGGGAAGAGAAAAGAAGAGAGAGAGAGAGGGGAAGAGAAAAUAAGAGAGCGUCAUUUUAAAUUGAAGUACAGUAAAACCUCUAUAAAUUAAUAUUCGAUAAAUUAAUAAUCACUAUAAAUUAAUAAAUUUUGCUGGUUCCAAGUUGAGUCAAUGUAAAAAUCCAUCAAAUUCGAUAAGAUAAUAAGAUAAUAAUUUUUUUUGAAAUCCUUAUGUAAAUUUAUUGUCCCAACAAAAACAUAAAUUAAUAAAGAUAUAAAGUUAUGAAAAUAUAUGUAAAUACAAUAUUCUAAAAUAUGACUAAUGUUUUUGUCUUUACUUAAAGUUGAAAUCUCAUUGGUUUUCAUCUCUCUAAUUAUUAUAUCAGUAGCUUUUAUUGCUCUUUUACUAUAUACAUUCAACAUUUGUGAUGAUUUUUUGAUGUGAUAAUUUAUUUUUUUACCUUUAAAUGUUUUUAAAUGUAUUGUAGUAUUAUUUUCAUUUUUAUCAUCAGUAAUACUAAUAGUAGCCAUGGUUUUUUUUUAUAAAUUUUAAACUUAUGAACAUGUAUAUUUUUACACGGACAAUCCAAUAUGGUGUUAAAAACUAUUUUAUUGUGAUAGUUAUGAUUCUUAAUUAUAAUUUAUAUCAUGAGAUUUGUUAAAUUUUUAAAAUAUAAAAUUAUUAUAAAAAAUUUUUUAAAAAAUUAUAUGCGAAAAGCAAAUUUUCUCUAUAAAUUAAUAAUUAUCAAUUUAAAAAUAAAUUAAUAUCACGAUAAAUUAAUAAAUUAUUAUAGUCCCAACACUAUUAAUUUAUAGAGGUUUUACUGUAGUUGUAGUCCAACAUACACCAGCACAAGGGUACGAUUGGGAUUAAAAAAUGUCAACGGUACAAUAGUUUUCUCUUUGUUACUUCCCCAAUUAUAACACUUUUCUUGGUUAAAGGAUGCAAAUACCCUAAUUUUAAUUCAUCUAUUCGAUUAAUUCGAAAAAAGACUAUGAAUAUAAAAACAUAAUUUUACCCUAUAUGUUCAUCUUACCAUAUAGUCUAUAUUUUUUGAAUUUUAAAUAUUUAAAACUUAAAAUUAAUUAAUUAUAUAAAAGUAUAUAAUAAUAUACUAUUUAUUAUCUUUAGCGUUAUGAGAAUACUAUUUAAAUUUGAAUAUUUAAAAAGAAAAUAAAUUAAUAUCUUUAUUUACUAUUUUGUAAAAAUGAUAACAACUGAUUUUUAUAAUUUUGAUAAUUAAUCCUAAUUAUAUCUAAAAAAUCUAAACUAAUUGAAUUAAAAUUUAAAAUUUUUCGAAAUUAAUUUUGAAAGACAAUAUUCAAAUAUACUAUUUAAUAAUUUUUGAAAAUAAAUAAAACAGAUAAAUAAAAUUUAAAUUUUUAUUUGGCAACAUAAUUAAUAGAUAUCCAAAAAUAGAAUAAUAGAAAAUUAAAAAAAUCUAUUUGGAUACAAAACAUACUUCUGUUUUAAUAGAAAAGAUGGCUGUGAGUAUUUUUAAAAACAGUUUUUAGACUUUGACUUUUAAAUCAAUAAAACUUGAUUGACUAAUUAAUGGCUUCUAAAACUUUAACUAAAUUCUAUGCGUCCGCAUAGAAAUUUUUUGUUUUUUGCUUAUAAAAUUUUAUAAUAUAAUUUGUAUUUAUUUUGUGUUUAGAUAUAAUUUAUUUUGUAGAUUUAAUUUUUUAAAUCAAGAGUUUGUUAUCAUGUUUAAAUAAAAGUAUGAGUUAGUUAUGUAUAUUAAUGUAAUGUUAAUUGUAAAUUUUUAUUACAAAAUCCAAAGCAAUCUAAAUAAAUAUCUAUAUUUUCGAAAUAUAUUUAAAUAUAAAUAGUUUUGAAUAUUUUAAAUUUUAUGUUAAAUCUGAUCUCUAUAUUUGAGGAAAUUCAAAGUAAUCUAAAUAAAUAUCUUAAUUUUCAUAAUGAAAUAUAUAAUAUAAAUAUGUAUAUAAAAACUGUAUUUUUAGAUAAAUUGUAAUAAGUAAGAAUAAUUUUAAAUCUAUUUUAAACAUAAUUUUUCAAAAAAAUUUAAAAAUGUUUAGAAGCAAGCACUAAAAAUAUUUCUGUUUUAAUAUUAUGAAUUUUUUUAAAAAUCUCUACUUUGCAUCCUACCAGAAGGAGAUGGAUUUCCCUUUGUCAUUUGACCAUUUGGGUUGGAAAUAUUUUGGAAAAAGCCUUUUUAAAAACCAAAUUUCGGCCAUGUAAUUAUGUCCAAAAUUGUUUGUAGGAAAUUAAACAAAGUGAUAAUUAAAGAAAAGAAUUUUCCACUUCUUUUCUUAUAUUAUUUCCACUUCAUAAAUUUAGAGGAAAGUUUUUCCCCUAUUUUUUUGCAAUAAUUGUAGUUUGUGUAUGGUUUUGCUCCAAGAUCCGAAUAUAUUACGUUUCAUUCAUAAGAUAAUGUGCAUUCUUUUUUAAUUUCUAACACUAGAUUCUAACCCCGUGCAUCCGCACAGGAAUAUUUUUAUUGUUUAACGAAUUUUGUAAUAUAAUUUGUGUUUUUGAGUUUAGAUAUAAUUAUUUUUAUAAAUAUAUUUUUUAAUAAGUGAAAAUAUUGAUUUUUGUGUUUAGAUAUAUUUUUAUAGUAUUAAAAUUAAUUAUGAUUAUAAAAAUAUAAUUUUAACCCGUCCACUAUUAUUAAUUCAAAAUGAACUAUUAUAAAAAACAUAAUUCUAACUUUUCCGUUCAUAUUACUGUAUAAUAUAAAUAUUUGUUAAAAGUUUGAGAUGUAUUAACAGUAUUAUUUAGCAUUAUAGUUUUCUAGAAUUUACUCAACGAAAAGAGUGUACAACUGAUUUUUCAAACCACAUUAUAGUGUAUGCAAUAAUUUUUAAUUUUUUAUGUUUUGAUUUUGUAUGAAAAAUAUAUUUUUGAUAUACAUGUAUAAUUCAAAAUUAGUGAUUUUAGUUACCAAAAUAUUUUUAACCCGGUUUUUAUAUAUAUUUUUAGUUUUAUGAAUUUUUUAAAAAUAUAUUUUUAAUAUUUAAAUUAUACAUUUGAAUUUUACCUAUUAUUUUAUUAUUAAUUUGUAAAUAAAUCAUAAUCGUAAAUAUAUUAUAUAAGCAACAUAAAUAUCAUAUCAUUUACAUCAUUAUAAAUAUUUUAUAUUUCAAAUAUGACCAUCAUUUUUUAUAUGUGAAUUUUUCUUUUCAAAAAUUCUAGAUUUUUUUGAUAAAAAUGUUUAAUAGUAUAGAAAUUAUUUAAAUUAGAAUCUUUAAAUCAAAUCUAAAUUAAUAUCUGAUUUAUUAUUUUUAAUCAAAUCAAAUCAAAUCAAAUCUAAAUUACCUAUAUUUAAAGAAUUCUAAAAAUAUUUAAAUUAAUAACUAAUUUUCGAAAUUAAACACUUAAAAAAAAAUUAAAAAUGUUUGGAAGUAAAUACUAAGCGUGCUUCUGUUUUAAUAUAAUAGAUUAAACUGCAAGUUGUUUAGGUAGUAAAUUUGAAAAGUAUUAAUUGAUUGGAGUUUGGAGAUCAUUACAAAGGAAUUAAAAUUAUAAUGAAGACUAGACAAGUGACAAGACAAGAUAUAUGGUAGUAAAUUUGAAAAGUAUUAAUUGAUUGGAGUCUGGAGAUCAUUACAAAGGAAUUAAAAUUGCAAUGAAGACUAGACAAGUGACAAGACAAGAUAUAUGAGAAGAUAGAUAAAAGAGAAGAUAUUUAAAAGUCUACGAUGGAUGAUGCAUGUAUUACUAUGCAUAUUUAUGUAGAGUCCAUUUCUAUAAAUAAAAAACAAAAGUAUAUUUGAAUUUGUAUUAAUCUAAGGACUGUAUGGGUAAGUGGUUAACCGACUUUUUUUCGUUAAACAAUUUUUUUUUCGUUAAACAACUUAAAAAUCAUAAAGUGAGAACGUAUGAUCAAAAAUUAAAUUAGAUCUAAAGAGGACAAAAAACAGAAAAGAAACCCCUAGUUAAUUUUGUACAACCUUGACAUUGAUGACAAAGGUUCCAACAUGGAAAGGACCCAAACAAAAAAACAAAAAAGUUCCUACAUGGCAUUUGUACAACCUUAAUUUUUUUCUAAUAAAAAGUUGUUCAACACUUCAAAACAAAACAUAAAAACCAAAUGGAUUUUACACAUACUAUAAAACAUCCAAACAAACCCAAAAGAAAAUAAAAGAAAAAUGGAGAGAGAAGAGAGGAGAAUAUGAAAAGACAUCGAUACAGCUAAUAUUUAUAUAGAUCGCCGCCUAAAAGCCGAAACCAUCAUUUAAUUCACUACUACUACUGUUUUGCUUUCGUCAUCCGAAACGCCGCCGUUUUCGAUUCUCUCACCAAAGCAACCAUCAUCACUUCCUUCUUCACUCGCUUUGUCAGAAGACAAACAAGAGAUGUCAGUUUCAUCAUCACGAGCGUGACAGCUAUCUACCAUCGGUUUAUCCCCGAGGUCAACAACAAUGGAGAUAGGCACCGACAACAACCGCCCGUCACGCGGCGGCGAGAAAAGAACCGGCAUGUACUGCUCCAUCUCUGCUCCGGGAAGCCUCGCGUUCUUAAAAUGUUCCUUCAACGACUCAAUCCCCUUUCCCAUUAUAACAACAACAAAAAAACACCUUUUUAAACCACUUUAAUGUAAUAAUUAACAAGAGAUUCAAAGAUUUUGUUUUGUUUUUUCUUCUAAACCUGGACUCGAGCAUAAGUAACAGCACAGAUCUUUUUAGACUUGAAGACUCUCCAUUGUUUUUUGUGAAAGGCCUUGUAAAGCCUCCACACUGCUUCUGGAGUUGUCAUGUUCACAAACCCAUAUCCCACAUUGCAUUUGUUGCUUAUGAAACCGAAGGAAAUAUCAAGAUUUAAUCAGCCCAAUUUUAUCAUUAAACUACUUUUAAUCAAAACAGAAGUGGAAUGAUAUUAUUACCUGAAAUCAAUAGGAAGGUAGAGAAAGUCAUAGGAAGACAUGGGAGUAUUGUUCCCUUCGUUGAUUAUCUUUUGGUUACAGCCAUUGCAAUGUGUAUCCAGCACAUUCAAAAACUGCUUCUGACUAUAAACAAAAAAACCACAUUACAUAAAAAAAUUGACUAGUCGACAUCUGUAUACAAAAAUAGUAACAUUUGCACAUAAGCUCAACAAUAUAUCCGGAGGGUCUUGUUGACUUACGUCAAACCCAAGAUAAAAACAGAAACAAAGCAUUUCCUCGUUUUGGGACAUUAUUGUCCAAGCACAUGCACAUCACAAUCACAUAAGUAUCAAUGAAAAAGUCACAGCUUGCUUACGUAUACUUGUUGGGGAUGUUCUUGAUCAUGACGGUGGUUCGGCCGUCACGACCGGGCUCGGCGGUGGCGAUAGCGUUUUCCUUUAUGGUGAAGUAAUCAUCAACGCUAAGAUUCUUCUUCUUAUGAUUAGACCACCGUUUCCUAUAGCUGCUCUUCUGUUGUUUUUGCUCGUACCGUUGUUUAUCACCCACCGCGUUGAGCGGCUUCACCGGUGACGGUAUCCGGCGACGGUAAUGCUGAGGCGGCGGAGGCGGUGGUUGUGGUGGAUGAUGGUGGUGGUUGGAAAGGAAAUUUUUGUUGAAGCGUGAGGCGAGAUAGAAUUUUCUGUUGAAACCACCGGGACGGCUAAACUGGAUAGCGAUUUGUUUCCCGGCGAUAGAUUUUCCGUUCAUCUCACGGAGAGCUAUUGCGGCGUCUCUAACGUCGAAAAACUCAACGAAUCUCUGUUCUUUCUUGAACGGCGUGUCUCUCAGCUCUUUCACUUCCCCUGAUUCGACAAAAGAGAAAAAACAAUCAAUCUCCGUAGAAAUUUACAAAAGAGAGCAUCUUUGGUUUAAUAAAUCACAAAACCCUCAAAAAGUCGGGAGCUUUAUCAAAACCCUUAACAAAGUCGAGAGCUUUAUUAUACCAUAAGCCUGGAAAAUGUGACGGAGAGUUGUGGAAGAGACGGUGGGUUUCAAAUUCAUAAUCACAAGCGAUCCUUGGUUUUUCCCUUCGGGUACGGCCGUUACUUGCGGAAACACGAAAUGGGCCCACACUGUUCUUCCGGAGACGAGUCCACGCGCCGCCAUAUAACCACGGUUAAAAAGGACUUGUUGUUCUUGAUGCAUGUGACGCUCGCGUAUCUCCGUCAAUGCCCUUUGUGAGUCUCUCAGGUUGUAGAAAUAGACGGUCACGAUUCCUUCAUCUGCUAGCUCCAUUUGGACUCCACGCACAUCGCCGAACACCUCCAGGUCUCGCCGGAUAGAUGACUCGCUGACGUCAGGUGGUACUGGUAACAGCACAAGAGCUCUAGUCGGCGUAACCGAUGUCGGAGGAAGAUGAGAAGCCGGCGGAGGAAGGCCGGCUCCGACGAAAUUAGGGAAAAAACAAGGGUAAGGCGGCGGAGGAAGAGGAUGGUAGAUUUUGAUCGGAACAAAAAAAGGAAUCGGGUGUAAGUUCGCCGGUAAAAACGCCGGAGCUGUUGGGUUAAGGUUUCUUGGGUAACCGGUGACUGACAUGGCGGUUUAAAGAACUGGUUUAUCCGGUAACCGGUAACGGCUACUUUGUACUGAUGGGCGCUUGAUCUUCCCUAGUGAUCGUACUCUCUCGUCGUCUCUCUCUUUCUUUGAUGCUGCAGUGCAGGGAGAGCAAAAGUGGAAUUUGUGGUUUUGUUUUAUCCUGCAGAGGUUUUUAUUAUUAUUUCCAAUUUUAGUUUAUUUAUUCAAAAGUCAAGGUACUCACUCGUCCUAGGAGUUUACCAUUUUGCCCUCUGGGAGGAUUUCAUUGCAAUGGAAGAAGAUGUUUACAGGUGCGAUUGGUGUCUAAACACAUGCCAAAGUGCUAAAGAGUUAGUUUUUAGCGAUUUUGAAGAAUCGGUUAAAGAGAAAAUGGUUAACAUUCAAAAUGUUUUUCAAAGGUAAUAUUUUGAUUAUCUUUGACAAAUGGUUAACAUUUUAAAACGUUUAAAUUACCAACAGUUAAUGUCUCCUUAACCGAGCCUAAUAACCAGUUAACCAGACAUAAUUAAUAACCAAUUUCAACGCUAUGUGUAACAUGUACUUAUCUAAAAACAUAUUACAAAAAUAUAUUACAACACUUGUUAACAAACUAACUCCAAAAAACCUUGAUUUUUAAACCUAGAACACAAUUUCCUAUAAAUUGGGUGCCAUGAUCCAUGUAAAAUAAUAUACAGUUUGGAUUUUGGAUGCAAUAGUUCGUAUUGUCGUGUUCCUCAUUGUCACUGCAAAAGUUCAUGGGCCGAUUUGUCGUCUCUAAGUACAAAUUUUGUUUGUAUGGUUUUAUAUUUAUAUAUAUAUAUAUAUAUUAUUUUUUUCAUAAAUAUAUUGUUGUAAAUCAACAUACCUUUUCACGUAAAAAACAACGAAUAAAUCGAAGAAAACAGGAAGGAUGUUGGUCUAGUUAGCCAAGUAAAGGCAAAAUACCAGAAACAUUACAUUUGCUUUUUAGCCAUUUAGCCUGAUCUAGCCUUUUGUUUCAUAUAUUUUAUUAGGAUUUCUACAGUCUCCUAUUUACAGAUUUACUGUAUUGAGAAAUAAAAAUAUGGAUAGUCUGGUUCUGACCAAAGAAAAAGAACAUCUCCAAUGAUAAGCUCUAAAAGUUUUUAAAUUUUAGGGAAUUUAAAAUAAAUCAAAAAUUAAUUAAAAAAUAAGAACUAAUUCUUAAAAUUCUUAUUUGAAAACCUCAUUCUUCAAAGGUUUUACACUUGUCAUCUUUUCAUUAGUCUAUUUUUAUUUUUAGAAAUAAAAUUUAAUUAAAUAAUUAUACUAUAUUAUAAUAUUUAUUUGUUUAAAACUCCAAAAUGAGAGCUCCACCAUUGGAGAUGGUCUAAAUUCUAAAAUUUCUUAGUUAUAACUUAUACUAAAAAUCGCUUAUGUUUUUAAAGAAAUUUAAGAAUAAAAAUAUGGUACUACCCUUGUUACAAAAAAAAAUGGUACUCGGCUGAAUGUUUUUAUUUUUGUUUCUCUUAACGACAAAAUGAUAUUUUAUAUACUAGAAAGAAGAAAUAAGUUACAUGAGUAGAAUACACGGAUGAUUUGGAAUUAAAGAUUUAAAGUAAUACAUGGAUGCAAUAAAAUCUGCUUUCAAAUAUGCAUUACACAUAUGUUAAUUAUAAGUCUCAUGCAUAUACGUGUGUGUCUACCGUCUACGUAUAUACAGUGGCGGAGGUAUAUAGAAUGAGUUGGGGCAGUUGCCUCCAAUAAAAAAAUAUUUAGUGUAAAUUUGUAACAAUAAUACUAGUUGUUCCCACACUAAAUAAUAAAUAUGUUUUGCCCCCAAUGAAAAAAUCUUCUGACUCCGCCACUGCGUAUAUAUAUUAGAUGCAUCCGCUGCAUCCUACAUAUGAGAAUUGAGUUAGAGGGUAGGACCAAAGAGGGACCCUGAGCAAAUCCUUAUUUUAAGGAAUGUUAUUGUUACCUACUUCCUUGUUUUUGGGCUGUCAUUUGUUUUUGUCUUUUUUAUGCCAUAUCCUUCAUUUAUUACAUGAACGCAUCAGCUGAUAAAAAGUUUAUGUGAAACUACAAUAUCUUCUUUACCUUAUUUGAGAAUUUCGAAAAGAAAAACAAAAGUUGAGACGUUUAUUUAGUAAAUUUUAAGUAAUUUAUUGUUGUUUUUUUUGUUUGAAACUCUAUUUCAAUUAAUUCAUUAUUUACACUUAUCUCAUUGAACCAAAGUAAUAUGGUGUUCAUAAGAAUUAUCGUUGCUAAAAGGAAAAAAAAUAGUAUCACACAAAAUACUCCAAUAUCGUCUAAAACUUCAAGAUAAAUUUCACCACAUACCAUUACUUUUUACAUUUUAGUUUUAGAAUAUCUUGUAAAUUAUCUGGCAAUCUUAAAUCUCACCAAGUAUAUAUCAUUAAAAUUUCUCAAAAUCUAAAAUCCACCGAGUUACUUAAAAUUCUUAGUCCAAAACAUUCCCCUUACACACGAGACUACUCAAUGAUGGCUCCACAUCGUCUUCUGCCAUAGAGGUGUAUUCUAAGUUCCAUAGAAGUGUCUUCUGCCUCAGAGUUGCAAGUCUGCUUGCACGUAACAACAGUUGAGAUUACUUUCAUGAACCCCAAUAAAAAAAGACAACCACAUAUAUAUAUAAUAUACAAUUGCAACAGAAGUUUCUUAAAUACAAGUCCAAAACUGGAAGAGAAACAAACAAAGAGAGAGAGAAUAAUCUUGACCUUAGCAUGAGUGAUAAGACCACCAUGUCCCAUACUUUUAUCCUUUUCAGAUUUGCCUUUAGCUGAACGAGACAGACGACCUAGAUCAUUUCUUUCGAUCUCUCUCAACCGCUCUUCAAGCUGUGAGGCAUAAACACGUACCAGAAAUAUCAUCAGAUACGAGGGAAAAAUUAUUAUCCAAGACUAUUCAGAGAGAGCAAGACGAAAACUAUUGAAAAGUGUUACCUUAGCUAGGCUUUUAAGUCUUACUGUGUUAUCUUUGCCAUCCCCAAGAGCAUCACAUCUAACAGCUAGAGCUAUUUUAGAAGUUAAAGACCGCAAGAACUUUCCCUUGAGCUUUGGUGCUGCUUGACCAACCAAAGGUGCAUGGUACUUGAGUGAUCUAAAGGUAUAUCCAUUGGUUCCGAGAAUCUGAAUCUUACUCCCAGGUUGCUCGGCGAGGUUGAGUAAACCACCUCCACGAGAAAUUAGACGAGCACCGACUAGCUCUCCAACCAAGGCAGUAAGAUUGGGAGCAACCGUGUUCAUUCUGCUCUUCAGGUCAUCGUGAAGCUUGGUUCUAUCCUCAGUCAGAGAAACAACCUGGUCACAGAGUUCUAAAAUGUGCUGGUCACUGACUUCUUUUCCUCUAGAUAUCACAGCAGCUUCCUUCAAUUGUGCCUCAAUCUCAUCCUCUAAUAUCUGUAGCCCAACCAGAUGAUCAUUAGCAGGGCCGUGGGCCGUGUAUACGUUACGGAGAAACAUUGGCUUAGGCCUAAUUUUAAUAAAAUACUUAUAAAAGUUUUUUUUUUACAAAAUUUAUUAUACUAUAAUUUGAAGUUUGUGUUUAUUUUUUUCAUUCAUAAAAAUCAUAAAAAAAUCUAAUUAAUAUUGCUUGUAAAUGUAUACUUUAUUAUACAAAAUUUCUUUCAACAAAUUAAUUAUAGCAAUAGUCAUUUCUGAUUUAGUGGUCAUUUUGUAUUAACACUAAUUGGAUAAGAUGCUUAUAGAGAAUUUGUAUGUUGUUAUUUGUUAGUGAUUAUGAUUGUAUUUUCAUAUUUUAUUUUUAAUCAAACAGUAUAUUACAAAAUUAUUUUUAAAAAAAACAAAUAAGUUAAGAAAAUAAACGAAGUAAAAACUACAUUAUCUAAAAGUCUACUACUAAAUUUAUUCAAAGUAAAUGAAAAACUUAUAUAUUCUAAAUUUUAAUUUGAGAUAAACUAUAUAUUGACUAGUUCAUAUUCAAUUCUUAAAUCUAUGUUAGUUUUGGUCUGGUUUAAUACAAUCAAAAAAUUUAUUUAAUCAAAGUGAAUUUGGCAACUACCAAAAAAAAGUUUGGUUAAUAAAGUAUGUGAAACUUUGAAGAAUUAUUGAAUUUUUCAUCUAACAAUCAUCAAAAUUUGAUUUACAACGAACAUCAAAAUUUGAUUUACUACAAAAAUUUAUUAAGGUUCAUUGAUAGAUGAUUUUUUUUUUACACACAUAAACUAAAAACUGGAUAAACCAAACCAAUAUUCACACAUUAGACUAUUUUGCGUGUUGAUUUGGAAAUAAAUUCAUUUAGCAUAUACUCAAGUAUUUGAGUCUUAUUUUAUAUAGUUUAGUAAAAUUAGACAAAUGAUCAAAAUUUUAUGACCAAUUUUUGCACAAUCAUUUUGUUUUGUUUAUAGUUUUUUUUUUUUUAAAUUACGACUAUGUCUAGGCACGACUCUAAUCAAAAGACAUGAUGUCCAGUUAACAGAGGUUCUUUAAAUAAUUCAUAAAGUGAAAGUUACCUUAAAGAAAUCAACAAACUUAGCAUUCCUCCGGUUUCCCAUCAAUUUAACUGAUUUCGCAUAUAGUAAAUUGUCUUCAAUGAUUUUUGCAAGUUGGGAGAAAUGCGUCUUAUACUGUUUUUUAAGCAUCAGUGCAUGUGUUUUCAGUUUUUUGUCAAGAUCAUCGAGCAAAACCGAUAGCUUCUAUAAUCAUAUUAUCCUCCACCUGACCAAAAAAAAACUUUAAGAGUUGAGAUGCAAGAGAAGCAAUGACAAAGAAAAAUUAAAAUUCAAAAGAUCACAUGCUAGUUCUAAACAGAAAAUUCAGAGCAAUUAAAGCUUAAAUCCAAAAACAAAUCAUAUGCCUUAGAAGAUACCGGGCUGUGAGACGAGCCCAAGCUCAUAGGAGACAAGUCGUGAUCACCCAAACCAUAUAUGAGUUCUGUGAACAGUCUCCUAACACCUUGUAGAAACUCCAUUACAGUAUUGUUGAGAACACAAUGGAUGUUCUCUAGGAGUUAAAACUUUUAUCAGAAACCUAUCCUCACAUGCGUGAAAGAGAGAACAAAAGAGACUCAGUUACCUGAAUUAAACAAAAAUGCUGUGCUGCAUCAAUGUGAGCACUACAAGAAAUACGAGAAAUACGCUUGAUAGCAUCCGUAUAUUAGGGUUAAUUAGUAAACCGAUAUUAAAAAAAAACUAUGAGGAAUGUACAUUAUUUGACGUUUAGAAUUUAUAUUGUUUUAUGUUGUCUCAGACUCUUGAAAAAUUGGUUUAAAAUCCAUUACAUAAAGGCCCACUAAAUAAAAAACAGUCUAAAAAGAAGAAAGAAUGUUCAUUUAGUGUAUAUACAGAAUUAUGCUCUGAUAUUUCGAGAAUUUUACGAGUAAUACAUUUUAGAUGUUAUAUAUGAUAUAGGUGAGAAUAUAUAUAUAUAUAUGUUUAUAUAUUUAUUAUUAUAUUAUAUUAUUUUGGAUGGUGAGAUUAGAAGGAGAAGAACGAAGGAGAAAGAAGAGAAGAUCUUAUGUUUUACUUAUGUAACUUAUAAAGUUUACAACAGGGUAACAACAUAUUUAUAGCAAACAUUAAUGAAUAUAAUAGAAGGAGUUACCGACUUACUAAGUCGGUUUAUGGCAGUGAAAGUGGAUAAUUAUCUCCACUUGUUUUUUAUAACACUCUCUCUUAAUUAUCUAUUACUGCUAAUGUAUUAUGUAUUGUCUCGUUAAAAACCUUAUUAUGGAAAAAUUGAAUGGAAUAAAAACCAUGACAAGGGAAAAAGAGUACAGUAACGUAAUCUCACCCUGGAAUGAUGGAUAUAACAUUCUCUUCAUAAAUCCCGCAAAUGACGCAUUUCGAUACUUUGAAUAUGCUUUUUGAAUACUGUAGUAGGAAGCGCCUGUAAAGAGGUCCGCCGCUUUGUCACAUGAACGAACAUACUGGAUAUUGACUUCUUGAUUCUUCUCGAGCUCUUGAGUAUAAGAGAAAAAUCUUAGAAGAAUAUGUUUUGUUCUGUCACUUUUGAUGUAGCCUUCUUUUAGUUGAGCAACACAUGCAGCAUUAUCUUCGAACAAUCUUGUCGGUUCUUUGUUAAUGACUAUUCCGCUUGUUUCUUGUAUAUGAUGAGUCAUAGAUCUGAGCCAAACGCAUUCUCUACAUGCUUCAUGAAGCGUAAUAGUUUCUGCAUAAUUUGAAGAAGUGGCGACUAAUGUCUGCUUUUGAGAACGCCAAGAGAUUGCAGUUCCUCCAAAAAUGAAAACAUAUCCGGUUUGAGAUCUAGCUUUAUGAGGAUUUGAUAAAUAGUCUGCAUCUGCAAAACCGACUAAAGCAAGUUUGGAGUUUCUAGGGUAAAACAAUCCCAAGUCAAUUGUUCCUUGAAGAUAACGGAAUAUAUGUUUUAUUCCAUUCCAAUGUCUGCGCGUAGGAGAAGAACUAUAUCUUGCUAGUAAAUUUGUAGCAAAUACUAUAUCCGGUCGGGUACAAUUCGCAAGAUACAUAAGCCUACCAAUAGCGCUCAUAUAAGGUACUUCAGGACCUAAUAUUUCUUCGUUAUCUUCACAAGGCCGGAAUGGAUCUUUUUCCGUAUCGAGAGAUCGAUUAACCAUUGGAGUACUCAAAGGAGUCGAUUUAUCCAUACAAAAGUGUUUUAAUAUCUUUUUAGUAUAAUUUGAUUGAUGUACGAAUACUCCAUCUCGGAAAUGCUCUAUUUGUAAUCCAAGACAAAAUUUUGUCUUUCCGAGAUCUUUCAUUUCGAACUCUUCUUUCAUGUGAGUUCUUGCAUCAUCAAUCUCUUUUGAGUUCCGAUAAUGUUCAGGUCAUCCACAUAAACAGCAAUGAUCAUGAAUCCUGACGAAGAUUUCUUAACAAAAACGCAAGGGCAAAUUGCAUUUAUUACAUACCCUUUCUUUAAUAAAUAUUUGCUUAAGCGAUUAUACCACAUGCGUCCGGAUUGUUUUGAUCCGUAAAGUGAUCGCUGUAAUUUAACCGAACAUAUUUCUUUCGAUUUAGAACUUAAUGUUUCAGGCAUUUUUAAUCCUUAUGAGAUUUUCAUAUAGAUAUCAUUAUCAAGUGAUCCAUGUAAAUAUGCUGUCACAACAUCCAUUAAAUACAUUUCUAGUUUCUUAGAUGCCGCAAGACUCAUCAAAAAUCUAAAUGUAAUGACAUCCAUAACCGGAGAAUAUAUUUCUUCAUAAUCAAUUCCGGGUCUUUGAGAAAAUCCUUGAGCAACAAGUCGGGCUUUAUAUCUUGUCACCUCAUUUUUCUCAUUUCUUUUCUUACAAAAACCCAUUUGUACCCAACCAGCUGUACAUCUUUAGGUGUUGUAACAAUAGGUCCAAAAACUUUUCUUUUAUUGAGAGAGAUCAAUUCUGUUUUUAUGGCCAUUUUCCACUUCUCCCAAUCAAAUCUUUUAUGGCAUUCCAAAAUGGACCUUGGAUCUGGAUCAUCAAUUUCAUAUUCGAUUUCUUUGCAUACAGAGAAUGAGAAUAUUCCAUCACUAUCUUCUAUAUCAUCUCUAGCCCAUAAUAUCCCAUCUUGGGCGUAAUUGAUGGAAAUCUCAUGAUUUUCUUUGUCAUUCUCGUCUUCAGAACCUUUUUCUGUAUGUGGUUCUUCUGGAUCAUUUUCAUUUUGUUUUCCCAAUUUCUUUUUCUUUCGGGGAUUUUUAUCCUUUGAGCCAAUCGGCUUCCCCCUCUUUAACUGAACUUUGGGUUCAUUUGCUAUUUUUCCAUCAUUUUGUUCUUCCGGAACAUUAAUUCUCGAUGGAACAUUUGCAACGGGUAUAUAUGACUUUGUCACCCUUUUCGUAUCUGUGAACGCAUCUGGUAUUUCAUUGCCAUAUUUUGUAAAUGAACAAUUUUCUGAACUUCGAGUUCACGUUGUUUCGUAGGGGGAUCAAGGUGCAACAAAGAUGGUGUGCACCAUGUAACAUCUUUUGGAACUUCUUUAAUUCCUCCCCCUAACACUGGAAAUUCAUCUUCAUUAAAAUGGCAAUCGGCAAAACGUGCCGUAAACAUAUCACCAGUUUGCGGUUCAAGAUACCUAAUUAUACUUGGUGAUGUAUAACCGAUAUAUAUUCCCAAUCUUCUCUGUGGCCCCAUCUUAGAUCUCUUCGGUGGGGCUAUAGGAACAUAAACCGCACACUCGAACACACGCAGGUGGGAUACAUUUGGCUCCUGGCCAGAUGCUAAUUGUAUUGGGGAAUAUUUAUUAUAAGAACUCGGUCUUAUCUGAAGCAAUGCCGCUGCAUGCAAGAUAGCAUGACCCCAUACUGAAACUGGGAGCUUUGUUCUCAUAAUUAACGGUCUAGCAAUGAGUUGUAACCGUUUAAUCAAUGAUUCAGCCAUGCCAUUUUGUGUGUGAACAUGUGCAAUAGGAUGUUCAACAUCAAUUCCCAAUGACAUACAAUAAUCAUUAAAAGCUUGGAAAGUGAAUUCACCAGCGUUAUCAAGUCUUACUUUCUUUAUCGUAUAAUCAGGGAAUUGUGCUCUCAACCUGAUUAUCUGGGCAAUGAAUUUUGCGAAAGCCGUAUUUCGUGUUGUCAAUAAACACACAUGUGACCAUCUACUGGAUGCGUCAAUUAAUACCAUAAAAUAUCGAAAUGGCCCGCAUAGUAGGUGAAUAGGCCCACAUAUAUCAGCAUGUAUUCUCUCUAGGAAUACUGGAGAUUCAUUCUCGAUUUUAGCUGGAGAUGGCCGAGUUAUAAGUUUUCCUUGAGAACAAGCAUUACACAUAAACUCUCCCGAUUGAAAAAUCUUCUGGUUUUACAACGGAUGGCAUUAGAAUUUUCCACAAUUUUCCGCAUCAUGACUGAACCAGGGUGCCCUAAUCGUUCAUGCCAGAUUUUAAAUGUACUUGUUAACUUCGGGUUUACAUAACAUAUGAUUCAGUCAUAUUUAUCUUUGUGGAAUAUAUUCCGGAGGAUAAUGCUGGUAAUAUUUUCAGUACAACUUUUCUCUCUGAAAUAACUGAUGUAAUACAAAGAUAUGCAAUGCCGUUCUUAUUCAUAGUUUCUAUGUGAUAUCCAUUUCUGCGGAUAUCUUUGAAACUUAACAAAUUUCUGUAAGAUCCAGGGGAAUAUAACGCAUCAUUUAUUUCAAACUUUGUUCCCCUUGGCAUUGAAAAACUGACUCUUUCGGAGCCCAUAAUAAUUUUUGCAUUACCAAAUAUUGUAUUCACGCUUUCAGCGGAAUCUUUCAUAUUAAGAGAGGAGAAAUACUUUUUAUCUUUUAAUAUUGUAUGCGUUGUAGCACUGUCUGCCAGACAUAUCUCCAUCCUCAAUCUUAAUCUUUGACAUUUUCUGAAUUCAAAAUAUUCAUAAAAGAAAAAUUAAUAUAGCAAAACAAAAGAGUUUAUAUUACAAUAAAAACCUUUUUAUAACAAAAGAUACAUUUUUAAACAUUAUAUUUUACAUUUUUAUUUUUCACACUAUGUAUACAUCAUGUCACAUCUUCUUCUUCGAGAAGAUUUUAUUCGUUUUGUUUUUCGUUGAUAUCUUCAGGAUCAACGAUGAAAUCAGAUAUAUCGAGAUUUGUGUCAUCGUUUAUACCAUCAAAAGAAAAACUGGAUUCACCAUUGAUGAAGUUGGUUUCACUUUCUUUUCCUUUUGCCUUUUGCGAUUCUUGGUACAGAUCGGUUAAAUGUUUUGGCGUACGACAGGUACGGACCCAAUGUCCUUUCAUGCUGCAUCUGUAGCAAGCACUCUCAUGUUGCUUGCAACCAACUUCAUUACCUUUGAACUUUUUGUUAUUUCUUCCAUCGUUUAAAUCAGCAGGACGGAAUCUUCUUCCUCGUCCACGACCUCGACCACGUCCAAAACCUCGUCCACGACCAUGAUCAUUUCCGCGACCGCGUCCACGUCCACUUUGCCAAUUUUCAUGGCUUGACGAUGCAACAUUCACUUCUGGGAAUGAAGCUGAUCGAGUUGGACGAGUUUGAUGGUUUAAAAUCACGAGUUCAUUAUUUUGUUCUGCCACCAAGAGAACUUGUUUUAACUCCGAAUACUUCUUGUAUCCGUUUGCCUGGUAUUGUUGCUGCAGGACUACGUUUCUAGGAUGAAAUGUUGAGAGAGUUUUCUCAAUCAUAUCAUGAUCACUUAUAUUUUCUCCACAUAACAUUAUUCUGGAAGUGAUUCCAAAUAGAGCGGAGUUAUACUCACUAACGCUCUUAUAGUCUUGGAACCGGAGGUUCAACCACUCAUAUCUAGCCUUUGGUAAAAUCACAUAUUUCUGGUGAUCAAACCUAUCUUGGAGUGAUUGCCAAAGAUCUGCAGGAUCUUCUUUCGUGAUAUAUUCAUCUUUUAAACCAUUAUCGAUAUGGUGGAAUAAAAAGAUCAUGGCUUUCGCCUUUUUCUCUUCAGGAGUUGUUUUUGUUUUAUCGAUGGUAUCAAGGAGCUCAUUUCCUUUUAAAUGCAUCCUUGCAGCUACUGCCCAUCUUAUAUAAUUUUUUCCAGAAAUAUCAAGAGCAGUAAUCUCGAGUUUUGUCAAAUUCGACAUGAUAACUGUUAUCAAUAUAACAAUUUAAAAAUUGGGUUAUAAUUUAUUUUUAUAAAAAAAAAUUCUUUUCGAUAUAGGAAUGGUAUAAGAACGGUUCGUGCUGAUAACGUUUUAGAUAUUAUAUAUGAUAUAGGUGAGGAUAUAUAUAUAUACGUAUAUAUAUGUUUGUAUAUAUAUUAUUAUAUCAUAUUAUUUUGGAUGGUGAGGUAAGAAAGAGAAAGAAGAGAAGCUCUUAUGUUUCACUUAUGUAACUUAUAAAGUUUACAAUAGGGUAACAAUAUAUUUAUAGCAGACAUUAAUGAGACUUACUAAGUCGGUUUAUGGCGGUGAAAGUGGAUAAUUAUCUCCACUUGAUUUUUAUAACAGAAUUAAAGAAGUUCCAAAAAAUGUUACAUGGUGCAACCGAAGUUUUGUUUUUGUUUUCAAUUCAAUUAUAUAUCUAUCAAUCGGAAUUGUGUUUCCGAUUUCUUCCAUUAUCGGAACUUUACGAGCUUCUGAUUGCUUCCGAUCUCUUCUAUUUACGAUCUUCUUCAUCUAAGCUGCUGUGGAUUUCCGAUUUUGUUGAAUUCAGUCUCUGUUUGGAUUCAAGCUCAGAGGCGGAGAAGCAUAACUAAAAUUAUGUUUUAUAGAAUGUUGAUUCAGAAGAAAGAUUUGAUUAAAGCCAAGUAAACGAUGAAGAGGCUGAUUCGAGUCUUCCUUAUGGUCGAGGAUAUGAAGUUUUAUAGCUUGUUUGAUUAUCGUUUUCUAUGUUUAUCCUUGCUCAGACAUCCUCAAAAUUGGAAAUGAUUAUUAGUAGUGUCUUGUUGUUGUUGAUUUGGUUUAUAGAAAUUUCCUUCUGCAACAAGCUUUCUCUAACUUUUGGCCAAGUGACAGAAGGUGAACCAUUGGUUCUGUCUCCUUUUCAUUACACAAUAGACAGUGUUUUUUUUUGUUUGGAUUGGUUCUACAUGUAUAUAAAAAGUUAUUCUAGAGAAUGUUUAAGUUAUUUUAGUCAAGCCUGAUGGAAUGAUGAUUUAAGUUGAUUAUGAACGUUUGUGAGAUGGUAUCAGUGUUUAGUUUCGUAGUGUCUGCUUAGGGACCUAGUAAUGUUGCUGAUUAAUUAUGGUAAAUAUUACUCAUCUGAAUGUUGUGGCUUUGGUUAUGUUUGUGUAUUUGCUAGGAUUCUUUAUUUGAAAUUCAUCAUCGAUGCCGUUGCUUGACUUUCUUGCUAAUACGCUGGUUUUGAAUAUUGUUUUAGGCAAGAGGAGAAAGGAAACACAUUUUACUACUUUACAGUUUAGCUGAAGUCGCUGUGAAAGCGGUUCUUGCUGUUGCUGAUUUAGAGAGGAAGGAUGUUAAUUUGGAUCGUAGAGGGAAAAGUUUGGGGGUAAGCUAGAGGACAUUGAUAUAUGAGAUUUUUGGUCGAUAAGGACAUUGCAGAUGCCAACAUUGCUAGGACUCGAGCCACCGAAGCUGAAGACAAAGCAUAUGUGGACAUUGACACAGUGGAGAAGUUUGAGACUUUGCACAAGCAAGAGCAGCAAUAUUUUGAUGAGAUGGUGCAAAAGUGCAAGGUAGGUUUUAAGUGUAGCUUUAUAUUCUUUGCAUGGCCUACUGGUUGUUAAGCUAUGGGAGACUGUAUGUUCUUCUGCCAAAGAAUGUUUUCCUUUCUACAAAAAGUAGUAGGUUACGUCACAAUGCAUUUUUUUCAAUGUAAUUAUAAUUCUUAUGGCUUUGAAAUGUAGGAUGUUGGUGCUACACUGGUUAUUUGUCAAUGGGGUUUCGAUGAUGAGGCAAAUCAUCUACUGAUACACAGGAAUUUCUCCGCUGUCAGAUGGGCUGGGAGUGUUGAGUUAGAACUUAUCGCCAUUGCCACGGGUGGGUUUAUAAUUCCAAGCAGAAGUUGCUGUUGGUGCAUGUGUUGUAACCAGCCCAAUUAUAGCUCUUUUUAGUGUCUUUAUCAGUUAUCUAGAGCUUAUGGGAUAUAUAUGUCUCUUUUAUAGGCGGGAGAAUUGUUCCGAGAUUUCAGGAGUUGACCUCAGAGAAGUUAGGGAAGGUAUGGUUACUCUCAGUAGCAAAAUUCGCUAUUAUAUAACAGGUUCCUCCAUUUUAUUGAUUUUUUGGCAUUCCAACUAUGUGUUUAGGCUGGUUUGGUUCGCGAGAAGUCAUUUUGCACAACGAAAGAGCGUAUGUUGUAUAUUGAGCAUUGUGCAAAUUCAAAAGCUGUUACCAUAUUCGUUCGGGAGGUACAUCCGCGGGACUGAGCCUUAUGUCUCCUUCUCGUAUAAUUACUACUGUGUUGUGACUGAAAUAUCUGAUGACUAAAGAUACGUAAUGAAGAUAAGAUUGUACAGGUUAUUGCAGAAUUGACUGGUGGCUAAUUUGCUUUGCCAUUUAGAUAACAAAAUGAUGAUAGAAGAAACAAAACGCAGCAUCCACGAUGCUUUGUAUGUAGCACCGAAUCUCAUCCGUAACAAUUCAUUUGUAUAUGGUGGUGGUGCAGAUGAAGUGCUUAAGACACAAUGGUUUCUAUAUUUGCAGCAUCCAAUUAGAGCGUUUGCAGAAGCCUUGGACUCUGUCCCUAUGGCUCUUGCAGAGAACAGUGGGUUGUACCCCAUCGAAACACUCUCAGCUGUAAAAUCUCAGCAAAUUAAUGUAAGUGAUUGAUGAGUUUCGUCUUGUUACAACUUAAAUAAUUGGCUUGUUACUGUGAAGGAUAUCGAGUUAUAUUAAUAAAAUGGAUUAUUUCUGUAGUUGAAUUUUCAGGAGAACAUUACAUUCUACGGGAUAGAUUGCAACGAUGUAGGAAUAAACGAUAUGAGAGAGCAAAACGUGUUUGAAACGCUAAUCGGGAAGCAGCAACAGAUCUUACUUGCAACACAAGUUAUUAAAUUGAUACUCAAGAUUGAUGGCGUAAUCUCCCCAUCUAAAAUCUAAAUAUUGAUGAUGUCUUUCUCCCUCAGUUUAGCUUGUUUCUUUUUUAUUCCGCAAUACAUAUGUAAGAACAUACCGUAGAUCAUUUUCCACUGUGGUUAAGUGUGCUGAUUUUUAUUUAUCCAGCAUGCAUUUCUGUGACAUUCGAAGACUCACGUGUACUGGUUCAGGGACUUGAGUGUUUUUGGUCCCUCAAGUAAAAUCAAACCAUUCAUAAAGAUGAACAUUAAUGAGUAAGAAAAUAUAACUGUUGGAGGUUGAAGUUGUGCAGGUCCUACAUUAAUGUAACUGAGGAAUCAUUGGUUUUGUAACGUUUUGUGUUAGUAAAAAAAAAUGUUGGUGGGUCGAAUCAAAUUUCACAGGCUUGAAAGUCAAAUAACGCUCUGUACCUUUUGUUUCUUGCCGACAAUGCUUCAUGAAUGCUUCAUUAAACUUCUUUGUUUGUUUGGUUAAAACCAAAUUUUGAUAAUUUGGAUCUUAGCAGUGUUGCGCAUGAGUGAAGAGAAAAAAACACUGAAGAGUGUAUUAUAGCUGAAAAUAAUCUUGGAUUGAGACACAUUUGAAGUGAAACAUGACUCUUGUGUUUUUUUUUUCUUCUUCUUUUACAUAUAAACAAGUUACGAUGAACGUCAAGGUUGUGUCCCAUUCUAAAUUCCAACAAAAAACAAAACUAUCACAUGGUCUCACAAUUAGUGUAUUUAUUCCAAAUUAGCACAAAAUCUCAAAUUAACAAAAACAGAAAGAUAUAAAUAAUUCUCCACCGACAAUGAUUAAUCCUAUAAGGAGGAAAAUUAUAGGAUUCUCAUUCAAUAUUAACUUGGAAUCCGUGAGGUCGGGCGAUUUUUGAACUUAUUACAUGAUUACUUAGAUAAAAUCAUAAAAGCAACAUUUAAUGUAUCACUUUGAAAAGACUGAAGUUCUCAUUUGGUUCAUUCUUCUUUAUUGUAAUAAUUGUCUAACGCAGAAUUCAAUUUCUUCUCGUCUCGGGAACACAAUAGCAAGAGGCAAGAGCAAGAUCCAGAUCUGGUCCAAUUAGUGGAGAUUCUGUUUUUUGAGUUUUGUCAGAUUCACAAAAACCACACUUGCCUCUCUCACUUAUUACAGAUCUUGCAGACAAAUUAAAUGCUAUCCCAAAAGUUAGAUAUGCCCAUGUUACACUCAAACCAAGGAAACCAUAUGAAUAUAUUCUCUACUAGGCCACAAUGAAUUUCACAUUUCAACCACAAAUGUACAAUCCGGUUAAUAAUUUGGUUUUCGGUUAAACUUUUAUGAUCUCUGAGGUAAUGUUUGUAAUGGAAAGACUGUUAACACACGGAUUUUAAUAAUUAAGCUGUUGAUCAUAUUUAUUACAAUAUAAUUAAUCAACAUUCUUGUAGCACUUGUACAUACAUCCCUCCACACCACAACAUACAUUGGUCCCUACUCCAAAAAAGUUUAAAAGAAACCCAUUGGUCCUAAGGGAAUCCAUACAAAUACUUUAGUAUACACAUCAAAUCCAACUUACAACUUUAACCCUCCCCAUAAUAAAACUAAAGGGUAACGAAAAAUUGAUAAAAAGAGGACCAACAUAUCCUCUUUUUUGCUUUAAUUAGAUGCAUUAUGUAUAACUUGAGUAGAUGGAUCGAAUUAACAUCGUUUUCCUUUUCUACAAUAGAGUGCACCAGCAUUGCCAGUGACCGAAGCCACCAACGAGGAUGGUCUAGCCGACAAACUCGAAGCCUUGGCAUAGCUUGAAGAGGAUCUACCACCCGAGGGCGUAAAAAACGCACCGUUUAAGAACAAGUCACCUUCUGAUCUCCAAUUCCAUUUCUUCCAUUUGCUUUGUGGUGCAUCUUCGUAUUUAGUCACCUAUAUUUUUUUCCAAGUUGUAAUUCAAUACUCUCAUAUAUAUAUGAUUAAAAAUAGAAACAUAUUAUAAAACUACUAGCUCUAAAUAAUUACCUCUUUGAAGACUCUGUUGUUAGGAGCAAGAAACCUAUUCCCUUGACUGUUAAUAGUCGGAGCUGCACUCCCACCAAUUGCAUACAUUAGCCAGUGCGUAUAAUCAUUAUUCACCACAUGAAAAUAUCCAUGCCUACAUCUGUAAAAUUCCCCCAAAAAAUUACAAGACAUUAGCUCAAAUAAUAUACAAAAAAUAAUUAGGGACUUUGUUUCGCACAAAAUAUAUAAAAAAGUAACUUUUUUUUACCUAGGCAUUCUCUGAACAAGCCCUUCACCGAAAUGGUUAAAGGCAAUGGUGACUUGCAUGUUCUUGUCUCUCGUGUACGAGUCACUGUGUCCCAAAAGCAUCACUUUGUUAUGGUGCGUCAAGUAAUUAUUAGAGAUGGUAAUGGCCGUUGAUCCAUGAAUCGCGUCGAUCAGACCGUCCGCACAAUUAGACAACGAGCAGUGGUCUACCCACACGUGUGACCCACCGAAUAUCGACACGGCGUCUCCAUCAGACGCCGUUCUCCACCCAUAAUGCGACGGAGAAUCUCUAACGUAAGCAUUGCCUCUCUUCUUGCAGUCGUGGAUGUUAAUGCCGUGGAUGAUGAUGUUGGUCACGUACUGGACGGUGAUGCACGCGCCUCCUGCGAUGUGGACGCUCGCUCCACGACCAUCUAUGGUUUUGAACGAGUUCAUGAUCAGCUCUUCUUUAAGUUUUAUGACCAUGUCACGUGCGAAUAUGAUCCACAGGGGCUCGUCCUGGAUCACUGCAUGUCUUAGGGUUCCGGGUUUAGGGUUUACAGCGUCUUUGUCGCUGGAGUCAGUCACUACGUAGAUUUUUCCGUCACGGCCGCCGAUUGCGUGUUUGCCAAACCCAAUGGCGCAAUUGGCUAGUCGUUGACGGUUUUUCUCCCAAUUCGGGUCGCAUCUCCAACAAUCGUCGAUGGGAUUUCCGGUCCCACAAGAGAGGACGCCUAGAUUUCUUCUGGACGCAUUAAUCCUCCUACAAAAAGAUACAUAAAUAUGUUAAAAAAUGAGGAGGUUGAAUAGUAUAAAGUUUUAGAUUCGAGAAGAUUUAGAAAAAUGUUACGCACUCGUUUACUUCUUGAACCACGAGUUCAGGGUCGGAGACAUGAGAGGAGGAAGUGAAGAUCGGAGCUAGGACAAGGAGGAGACAUGAGAAGAGGGAGAGAGACAAGUGAAGAAGUGUCAUUCUCUAUUUUUGUCUCUCAAAAGGAUUUUUACUUAUUUAUGUAAUUUAUGAGAUUUGAAUGGUUUUGUUUGGAGAAGAGAUAAAAUGGUGAGAAAGGCUUUGGCUUCUUAUAUAGGAAAUCUCCUCCCCUUGAUUUAUGGGUUUUUAAUCAUGGAGGGUCCACUCUUUUCAGAUUCUUGAAUUUUAUAUAUACUAAAAAGGAGAAAAGAUGUUAAAAAAAAAGAGAAAUCAAAAUCUACUUGAUACAUUUUAUAAUUAUUUGUGGAAGCUCUUGUGAGCUUCUGAAAUAGAUUAAGCGCAUAUAAACACAUGUCAAGUUGAUAACAUAAUAGGCAGUUUUUUUUGUUUAAAGAAUAAUAUAAUCAAUCCGCAUAUUUGAAGAAUAAUGUUUUGACAAACAAAGGUGGUGAAAUUCUUAAUAUGAGGAGACUUUUGUAAUAACAUAAUACUAAUAAAGGGACGUGAAAUAUGCGGAUUGAUUAUUACAAAAGACUUUUGCUGAAUUUGUUGCAGUGUUUCGGCUAAAAUAAAGGGACGUGAAAGAUAAUUUACAAAAGAAAAAUGAAAUUGUUGAAAUGCUUGCCGCAAACAAAAAGUCUUUUUGUGUUCGAGUGUUUAGCUGAAGCCUUGAACAGAAUGGAGAUAUAUACAUAUAUACACUAUUGUUACAAUAACAUGUGUACGUAUUAAUUUUUAACUUUCUUUAGAAAGAAAAAAACUUGCCCUUUUUUGAACCUUUAAUUAUUUUGCUGUGCAAUAAAGUCACUUUUGAUAAAACAAUACUGUUGACAAAAAAUACUGAUCAAAAAUAAAACAAAGUUUGUCAUGCGGCCAACCUUCAAUUGGAAACUAUACGUGUGUUCUUAAUAAUGCGAGGAGUAUAAUAAUUUUUCAUGCGUAGUCUCACUUGUAUAUAUGGCUUAUCAAGACUAAUUAACAUGUAUAAUUAGAAUGGCAUAUACGAUAAAUUCUUGCACUGUUUAGUUCGUUAAUGAUCUCAAUCUCUCUCUCUUUUUUUUUUUUUUUUUGAUCUCAAUCUCUUUUGUUUAUUGUAUGAACAAUUUAAAGACAACAGUUAACUUCAUGGUGAUUAGUACAUUGAUAAACAUACAAAUGACUAUCACUAUAUGAAGAAAAUACAAUAAAGUUAAUUAGUUAUAUAUGGGGUGAAAUGUCACAUGGAACAACACUACAUAAAUCUAUCAGAUGUUAACUGUAAAAAGUAACGUCAUAUAAUAAACCUUUUUUCUUUUUGACAAAACAACUGUAAAACCUUUUAUUUCUGUUAUAUUUCAACGAACUCCACAAACCUUUGCAUGCAUGUAUGUUGUAUAUAUGUAUAUACAACUUCUUUGUGUUUGUCUUUUUUUGUUUUCUCUUUCUGAAUGACAACCUUGCGACGUGUAUACUAUAUAUCGGUAAUAAAUCUUUACGUCGCUAUUGAUCAUGUGUUUAGCUAGCAUCUUUAGUUUCUACUAUCGAACCAUUUCUCAAUUAAAAUAAAAAUAAAAAUUAUGACAUCUAAAAAAACAAAUCACAAUCGUUUACAUUUGUCGGUCUAUAUAAUAAUCUCGAAUUAUGUUUUCUGUAAUUUCCUUUUGCCAAAUCGAAACACACAUUUUUGUAUGAUUAGGAUCUUAAUUAAGACAAUGGAUUAAUGGACCCCACCCAUUUCCCCACCAAUUAUUGGUGACUCACGAAAUUAACACUAUUCAUAAAAUUAAUUUAACUUCUGACAAAAAGGUACGAUAUCGUAGGACACAUCGGAACCGGCUUUCAAAUCCAAUACUAGUCGGAAACCGAUUUUGGGUUUCGGAUUAGAGACAGUUGCUGACGUGGCAAAUUACUUAAAAAGGUCACGUUCGUCCAUGUGAGCCUUGUCUGGCCACACCCCUGCAUUCAUGGGUCGCAUCUCGACCGUUCAUUACUAUAUAACAUGCCCUCUACCGUCAGCUCUCCGAUCGGUCAUUCUCGCGCCACCAGUUUCUAGAAAGCCGAAGUUCUAUUUAUUGGAUAUGCCUUCGAGUUUCUGAUUUUUUGCUUUGGUUACAUAGCGUAAAUUAAUCACAUAACCAUAGAAAGUGAUACACAAUUUGUUGUGUGUGAUUGAUUUGAUAUGCAUAUGUAAAAAUUGUGGAAUCAUUCCACCUUUUGAGGUUACUAUUCAAACUUUUUUAUUCAUAUGUACUAGAACGUAGAAAAUAGUUUUGAAAUAACAAAGAACGAUAAAAGUACUAGAGAUAUGAGAUUUCACAACUUAAAAAGAAAAGUGUUGUUUUCCAAUAUAUCAAAAGAGAGAUCCAAGAUUGGAACAAUGAUAUCUUGGUUAAAGUGGAUUAUAAUCCAUAGGAAUACACUUUAUCAAUGUACCUAGGAUAUGAUUGGUAAUUUGCACAAUGAUGAAAUGAUUCUGUGUUUCUUAAACUCUAUUCACAUAUUUAGCGCUUCCCAAGAUUUCAUUAAAUAUGUAACUAUGAAACCAAUAUUAUGCGGAUUUUAAACUAAAUCAAGAAUACUUAAAAUUACUUCAUAUUUUUAAAUACAAUUCAGGCUAUAUAUAUUUUCUUUACCAGUUACAACAUUCAUCAAGAUUUACAUGUUAGAUUGUGUAAAGACGUUAUCUCGAUUACUCUAUGAUCUUGGACCUCUGGUAUAAAUUCUCGUGAUGCUGCUGCUUUAUAACUGCUAUAGUGCUAUUUCAUUACAGUUCUUCUCAUUGCCAAGAAUCCAAUGUAGCACGAGAGGAAAAAAUGUAUUAGAAUAGAUUGCCAUGCCGUUAGAGACAACUGAAGCUGGUUCUCAAUGUUCUUCAUAAACGGUUAAUACUUCACCUUGCAUACGUAUCCUUCUCCAUUUCACGAUCUCAUUUCCAAAGUAGAUGUUUUAAAAAUUCAAAUAUCUAUGCCCCAUCUUGAAGGAGACUGUCAAAUAUAUUUACUCAGAGUUAAAAGUGUAACGAUAGUUAACUUGUUUGUUAUACUAUGAUCAAUUUUGUCUAAUGUAUUGAACGAUUCUGUUCAUUACUAUCCAAUAUAAUGAGAGAAAUUCAUCAUUUUCUCAACUGAUAUAGUUAAAUAAUCAACCGCCUAAACUAAAGGAUCUAACAACAUCUUGGUACGCUAGCUUAAAAUAUACAUUUAAUGUCCUUAUAUAAAUUAUAACCUAUUACAAUAGGUAGCCAUUUUAAGAAGUCUAUGAGUUAAAUUCGGUUGAUCAUUUGUCAAAAUGUAAUUGAGCACAACAAAUUUAGCUCUUACAAAAAGCAAAAAAAUUAGCUUUUACUAAUCUCUGCUAUUGUCCUCAACUGCCGACGAUUGGUAUGUACAUACACAGUCCAUAUACGUACGCGGAACGCGAUGGCUUGAACAAGCGGACGAAAACAAAUAAUUUUAAAUACAUUCUAAUUAUUGAGAAAUACAAAUGAUUAGACCAAUAUUCUGAUACUGAAUAAUAGAAUGUUAAACUCUGUUCUUACAUUAGUCGUAGUAACGACUAACGAACUAUAUAUAUAAAACAGGAACCAUUAAAUUAUAUAGUAUGGACAUUAUUUAUGUAUAGAUAAGAGCCCUGAAGAAAUGGUGACAUAAAAGAGGUAGUCACAUGGGGUUUUCUGAAGCCAUGUGCUGAUCAUGAUGAUAGCUUUAUAUAAUCAUUGAUCUCAUAUCGCUAUUGACAUUUCUUACCAUGAAUUCUUUCUUUUUUCCUACUCUCUCAAUAUUGUAGUAUUUUGAUAAAAGUAUAAUAUUAAGUGUUGACAAAAGAUAUACUAUAAUAAAUUUGUAACAGCAUUUAUAAAAGCAUCUAUCUGUGUUCUUGUGAGUGUCUAAUGACUUGUUUGUUAAAGUGUUGUUGUUACCCACUUUGUUCGUUUAUCAAAAAAGUCAAUAAUUGAUGAUAUACUUGGUAAUCAUUAUGAAGGUGUCCCAAGUCCCGACGACCUUAACUUGUAUACACUCAAUUUUCUUUGGGAUAAUUUCCAUAAUGUUUGCUAAUUUUACACAUCAAAGGAUUGACUAAUGGAAUGAUGCUUGAACGAAAGUCAUGAGAACGGAGGAAGAAAGCUUCAUUACUCUCCAGGUUAAUUUUAGCAUGUUAUUUCAGUUCUAAUGCUAAAAUUGAUUUCUAUUGAUCAAUAGUAUUGAAUAAAGAUAGUAUUCGACAAUUUCAAAGCAACAGGGGGAAUUUUAAGCACUAGAAAAGUUUACUUACGGAAAUGUCAAACCCCCAAAUGAUUGGAUCAUGUGUAAUUAAGUAUGCAAUCAAUACAAAAUUUAUAGUCACCCACUCUAAUGAUUAAUCUUUUGUAAUGGUCGUAUAUUAAGUAAUGAUACUAAUUAUGAUGAUUUUAAUCAUAUAUAUCAGAUACUCCCUCCGUUUCAAAAGAGUGGCAUUAUUAAAAGUACAAUUUUGUCUCUAAUUAAUACAUUAAAUGAUUUGUUUUUAUCUAGUAAAUACAUUAAAUUAAUAGGGUUAAAACUGGAAUAUUGUUUAAAAUUUUGCAUUGAAAAUAUAAAACGACACUCUUUGUGAAACAAAAAUAAAACCUUAAAACGACACUCUUUGUGAAACGGAGAGAGUACUAUUUAGCUUUUACAAUGAAACCAUUUCCAACCACUAUUCAUCCAAACACCAAAUUUGGUGUUGUGAAUAUAGUUAAAUUUGAUAUUUAGGUGAAUAGUAUUUUUUUCAUCUCCAACCACAACACCAAAUCUCACACUAAAAAAAUAAUAUUUUUAUUAUUAUAUAAUUAAAACUAAAAUUUUUAUUUUUAACAAUUUUGAUCAAUACUAAUUAUUUAUAUAAUAACUUAACUAUAAAUUAUAUAUAACAUUACAUUCCGUACAAAAAAAUUAGAAUUGAUACAUUUUGAAGUUAAAUAUAAACUUCUUGAUCCUUCAAUUGCCUAUGCUAAGCUAAAUAGUUAUGUAUUCUUAUUAAUUAUAAUUAAAUUUUCAUAUUAAUUAUACUUAACAUUUCAUAAAUAAUAAAAUAAAAAAUUAUGAUAUAUUAAUUAUAGUUAUAAAAUUUAAUCAAUUAGUAAAUAAUAUCAUAUUUAUAUUAUAAUUAAUAAUAAUAAUAUUAUUAUUAUUUUAGAGUUCUGUGAAUAAUGUCACACAAAAUUUGGUGUUAUAUUAUUUACAAAACUCUAAAAAGCAAAAUAUGCCGUUACAAAUGGAAUUCCAUUGGAGAUGUGAGAACUCCAUAAUUGAAAAUAUGGAAUCCGAUUGGAGUUGCUCUAAAAGUGUAUAACAAUAGUGAUGAUUAUGCAUAUUGAAACUAACCAAUAUACCAUAAAAAAAAAAAAAAAUUUAUCAUAUUACACAAAAUGAACCUUUUCUCUCUCCUCCUUUUCUCUCUCGAGCGAAAUCAGAUUUGAAACUUUCUCUUGCAGAUACCUUAAAGGAUCCUUCCGAUCUCCCUCUCCGGCGCGCGUGGUGGCUCACCGUCGCCGGAGGAGGGACUCUGAUGGCCUCCUCUUUCGUUUGUUAGGUGUUUUGUCUCAGUUCGGCCGUCGGCUCGGUGUGGCGUCAAAGUGAAGUUUCUCCGGUGUGUAGUCUUCGUUCGACGGCGACGGAUUUCAGUGGCGUCGCUGGGGUUGCGGUGGUGGAAGGCGAUCUCCUUGUGGUGAUGCGCCUCUCUGCCGUUCGCGUCGUUCUAUCUCGGUGGGGUUUGCUUUCUUUGGUGUUCACCGGCGUUUCCCUCCGACGGUCUCUUUUGGCUUUUCUUUGCGAGUCCUCGUCGCCGGCGGCGAGCUCUCCGAUUUUCCUCGGUGGUGUAGUUCGUCUCUCCCCGGUUAAAGUCCAUCUCUGCCUCGUUUUGUUCAUAGCGGUGUUCCCGAGGCAUAGGUGUGGUGGCGAUGUAGGCUUUGAUCUCCUCGGCUCCAGCGGCAGCGAUUCGGACCUAGAGGACGGGUUCAGUCUCUGGUUUUGGUUUCGCAGGAGAGGUUUGGCUUGUGGCUAGCCUCGGAGUGGUGGCUCUCGUUUCUUCCGGCGUGUGUGGCUCCACCAACAGUGUCUCUCGACGGUGGUUUUAGGCGGGUGGCUCAGCGGCUGUUCUCUCACCAUGUUCGACGAAGUUUCCGGUGCCGUCUUUUCACCGUUGUGGCUCGGGUUUCGCUGUGGGUGUGUGUUUGUGUUAUCAGCAAUUCUCAGCAGUUUCGCAGUUUGGUCUUGGUCUUGACUCGUGAGGACUCCGAUCGUGGUUCGGUGUAGAUAGUGGAGCCUUUCGAGAUGUGUAUUGUAGAGGCGCCGGUCUGUUGUCCGGUUAGAUUGUAGCUGUGGAGGUUGGUCCCUAUGGAGACUUCGGUUUCUACGGGAAUGGUGGUUGGAAGUGACUUCUCCGAUUACCGCUCAGACUUCCUUGUCACCGGUUGCAGUUUAGUCCGUUACGAAUUUCGGAUAUCGCGUCAGUUUUCGGAGAAGCUGUAGGUAUUUUUUCCGGUGGUUAGAGGACGGGCCUCGGAAGGACGCUCGUGGCAACUAUGAUGUAAACUCCAGUUCUUUGAGCUGCGGCAAAAACGUGAUGGUCUGUGCUUUUGCACGUGAUUGCUGCUUUCUCAUCUUGUUUGGUUUCGGUUUUAAUUUUCUUCUCUUACUUGCUGGAUCUUUGGCUUUUUUGUGUUUCUGUUGUUUCUUUGUUGUUUUUGUGUGUCAGUAGAUUUUGGUUUUCUGUUUUCUUCGUUGUAUCUCUGUAUUGUCUGUAAAAAAAUCAAAAAUUUGGUAUAAAAUUUAACAUUUAACCAAAAAAAAAAAAGAAACAUAAAAUUUUAAUCCUUAGCAGCCUUUUUGUUUUUAUGAGAAGAGAAGAUUUGAAAUCUGUUUAAAUUUUAUGUCUAUUCGUAGAGAUUUUCUUAACCUUUUUUGCAGUUAAAACUCACAAAUGUUUAAAAACACAUGUGAAACUUUGGACUAUAUUUUCUUUCUUGAUCAAUCUAAGAGACAAAAAUUAGUUUUUCUUUUUUAUCUUCUAAUCUAAUGGUCACAUAAUCACAAUUUAACUCCCAAUUUAGAAAUUCGAACCCAAUCAGACUAGAAAUGAUGUUAUACACAAAAAAUGUUUUCGAUACAUAUUAUUUGUUGUUUUUAAAUAUGAAUUUGUGUUCUGAGGUUUCAAACUUUCAAUUCGGAAAAAUAUAUGUUCGAACUUUGUUUUUGAAGAUAUUUAAUACGAAAUCAUAAUUUGAGCAGCAUCUCUGGUACUAUACACAGCAGCUUCAUUUAACUAUGUAGUUGACCGGAAACUUGGGCUAACUAUAAUUGUUAAUGGGUAAAAAAUGUGUGGCUUGCAUUGUUUGAAUCAAAUUCUAUUAGGCCUGUGCUACACCCCUAGAGUUUCAAGUCCAUGUACUUGAGAGUCCUAACUUGUCAUCAACACCCAUUUACAAAAACGCUAAACGCGCCAAAAUGUAAACGCUAAAAUAGCAAACUAGAAUAUCCAAAGAAAUAUUUAUUGUUCCUUCCUAAAUUAAAAAUAACAAAAGAAACCAUAACCAUCUUAAAAAUGUCUGUUACUAUGUACAGCCCACUUACUUCUUUAAACAUUAGCCAAGAUCAAUGGACCUGGUGAUGCAAACCUAACUUAAGAAGAUAUUUCUUUUUUUUUUUCUUCCAAAUCUCUAAGAAAGAUCAAUACCGACAACUUUAGCAGGUUCUGCUCUUUCAGCCAAGUUAUCACCUAGCUCCACGCCAAGCUGCCCUCUCUCCCCAGCCCCAAACGCAUAGAGAGUCCCUGACUCGGCCAUUGCAAAUGUAUGACCAGCCCAAGUAGUCGAGUUUGUCAAACUCACAUGAACCACACGCUCUUUCUUCUCCUUCAACGACGUAACCAGCUUAGGGAUCAGAGUAUUCUCAUCCACAUCUCCCUGCUAAUCUCCGGAUAUCAAGACCAUUGACUCCAUUCCAAAAAACCAAGAAAAGAAAAAAAAAACAAGAACACAGACUUUACCUGACCAAGAUUGGCAGAUUCACAGCCAAACGAGUAAACCUGACCAUCAUCAGAGACAACAAAGGUUGCAUAAUCUCCAGUGGCGACAUGGACCGCUUUAACAUCUUUUAACCCCUCUACAACCUUGGGAGCCGACUCUGGCUCUUCGGUACCGUGACCCAAGCAGCCAUACCGGCCCCAACCCCACGUGCAGACUCUCCCAUCUCUCCCAACUACAGCAGCAUGCCAUGUCCCUGCUGAGACCAUAACCGGUUCCAUCUUCAAGAGACUAAACUGCUCAAUCAAGCGAGGCUGUGUUUCACUGGUUGCAAUACCAUGACCUAGCUUCCCACCCAAACCGCAUCCAACAGAGUACACAGACCUACACAGAAGCAAGAAGUAAGCACAUACAAAUCGGAUCAAGAACAGAGGAAACAUUACAAAGACUCACAUGCCCGUAGGUUGAUAUGCUAGAGCAAGAAGAUAGCAAAAGCCAGCAGAAAUUUGCACGACCGGGAUAUCCUCCAAGGCCCCCAACAAAGGAUGAGGCAACAUACAGUUAAGGUCGGUUCCGUGACCGAGUCUCUCAUCUUUUCCCCAUGAUAAUGUAUAGACUCUGCCUUCUCUCGACAAAACCGCCGUGAAGUAAUUCCCUAUCGUGGCUUGAACCACGAAGAUUCCGUUCAAAGACUUGACUCGCUUGGGAGUUGUGAUGAGCUUAGUUUCUUGAACUUCUAAUCCAGCUUCGCUAAACCAAUCUUUUCCAAAAGCAUAAACUUCACCAGCAUCACUGAUCAACAUUGUUCUAUCAGUGCUAACAGCUGCCUGAAUGAUCCGGAUACCGUUAAGUGAUCUGCAAACACAAUGUACCUCACAUUAACCUCAACUUUUCUGACUAUUAGGCCAAAUUUGAACCAUCAAAGAAAUGUGUAACCUGACUGGUCGAGGCUGCCAAGUGUCUUCAGUGGAUCCCUGUCCGAGUUGUCCUGAACCGUUAUAUCCGAAAGAGUAAACAACGCCCUUUGAUGUUACGGCGAUGCUAUGACCAGGACCUGCAAGUGCCUGUGAUUUCUCGCGCCUGCAACCAAAUUCACCAGCAAGCAAGAACCUUAGAACAAGCUUCCACGAGCCUCCGCAUUUCCUUUUGAUUUCUUGGCGUUCUUCCUCUCCCAUGCGUUUAAAUAUCGCCCUCUUUUGGCAUCUAUCGAGAGCUGCAACUUCUGAGAUGGAGAGUUCAAGGUCCGGAGAAAAAUUUGCCGGCAUUCUGAAAAACGAACAUGUUGCCUGAAGAUAAAGAAUAACCAAUCAGAAUAGCAUCAAUCCACACGAAUCAGAAAACAUGAAAACAAGACAGAGCAUUAUCACUUCACUUGCCUCGAGUUUCGCAAGGUCCCGAGGACCUAAGUCACAAGUUGUGAGAACAUGAAGGACAAUGGAAGGACAAGAAGCCAAGAAGAACUCCCCAGGAGCAGAGUUCCCAAGGCAUUGGCGUUUUAGACACAUAAAUGAAGGGAAAGGCAACUCCAUAGCCGCGGAGAUUGGAUUCUCAGAGAUGCUAUGAAGUUGUAACGUAGCAGCAGGGCUACUACCAUUUGAUGUUGUAGUAUCCAUUAGGACACUGCUCCGGUUUUUGCAGAGCCCAAAUGUUUUCUAUAACUCACUAAAUAUCAGCAAAACCAUAUGAUUAAACUAGUGCAUUGUUCAGUCCUGUGAUCUAAAAACUCCCUAAUAGUCAAAAUCUUCAGGCUUUUGUUAUUAUACAUAUAGUAUAACAAAGGAGCUACCUUUGACGCUAAGAAUUGAUGAACACCGACCGUGAAAUGAUGGAAACUUGCGAGAGAAAUGCUGUUCAUGUUUAAGCCAAAUAAGAUCAUCAAGAUCGAGAAUUGCAGUACAAAAACACAAGAUCAUUAGAUUCAAACUUGAUUUUAACAAAAACAUAAGCAGUCUAUAGUAAGAACAAACCCAGAUCAGAAUCAUGGUUAAUAAAUAUUAAGCGAUCAGUCAAAAAAACCAAACACAAAAUAGGAUUCUCUGUUCUAGGAGAUCGUGAUCAUGAUCGUGAUCCUCGAUCAGGGAUCAUCAACAUAUAUAGAAAAGGUUAAAGCAGAAGAAGGAUCAGAAAAGACCCAUAAUUUCACCAGAAUUGCAUCGACGGUUCAAAGGGAAAAAUUACCAGACUUUGGGACUCACAAGUUGGACCAAAAGAGAGAAAAUGAAAGAGAGAGAGAGAGAGAGAGAGAUUGUUUGCGGUGGAAUAUCACAGAGAAGAAAAGGAACGGACUUUCAAUCUAAAAUUUGUUCUGUUGUUCUUUCUCCGUGAAUUUCUAUAAAAAAGAUUGUUCAUUUGCCUUUUUUUUUUAAUAAUGGAAACGAAGAAUGGAUUGGGGUAAAGCUUCAAUCUUUAUGUAUCUCUCUGCAUUUUCCACGAAACGAUUUUAGGUGUCUGCUGCUGCGUCCACAAAUGGAAAUAAAAUACUUACAAGUCCACUUGUAAGCAAGCCCAAGUCCAUUGUUUUAGAUCAUUUGCUAUUAACUUUGUGAAAGAACAAAAAAUGUGCAACAGAAAUUAUGAUCUUUUUUUGGUCAAAAAAUGUAAAAUGAGUUAAAAAAAAAAAAAAAAAAAACACGUUUGGACGAUAUUAAUUUUGUUGUAAAAACGCCUGAUUUUUUUACCGUGAUGUCAUCUUUUUCUACGUAGAUAUCUAACUGAACGUUGUCUAUUUCAAAACUGGUUUUUUUAAUUCGAUUUAUAACCAAGUUCGAAUUUUUCAUCUCAUAUCCACUUAUAUAAUUAUCCAUUUGUAACAUCUAAACAACUCUAGUUUAUUCUAAUGAAUACGAAAAUGGUUCAAGUGAUUAUUAACCUAUCCAAAAUGCUAAAUGAUCCAAAAUCUCUCCAAAUUUUGACAAAAUUCUUUAAAAUAUCAUAUUUUCUAUUUGAUUUUUACUCGAAUUAUUAAGAAUUUAGGUGAGAAUUCGGCUGACCUAUUGGAUGAAACAAACUACCGAGAAAGUAAUACCACAAGUCGAAAACUCUGAAAAUAUGCUCACUGAGGCUCUUAAGCAAACCUAAGAGUGAAGUUAGUGCUGCAAGACAGGAUGUGGGCAGGAGAGCGGCCAGUCCUCUGCCUCUAAUAAUUAAAAACGAAGGGAGUAAUUACCUAUUUACCAAACUAGCUAAGUCAUAUACGGAAGCUAUUAUGUUCAAGUGUUCAUUUAUGAUUUCACUUCAUAAGGCUAUACUAUUCAAGUGUUCAGUUAAUAAGGCAACACAUUUAUUGAACUUUGCAGUCGUUUCACUCAGUUGCAAAAAGGAAAUACAUGUUGGUGGUACGCUCCGCUCCUCGGUCAGGACCGGUUAAAGACCGAGACCGGCCCAAUUGACCCCGGUUUAUGAUGGUCUUAGUCGAAAUGGGCCUGGCCUGACAGCGUGGCCCAUGAGAAAGAAGCCCAACAACGAAAGGCGGUGAGAGCCGAACGAGAAGCCCUAGGACGUCUCCUCGUUCUUGUGCUAUAAAUAGUAGAAUUGUUACUGUAGAAGGAAUCUUUUUUGGACCCAGAGAAUAGAGACCUGAAUAUUAUAUCGACUUCGUCGAGAAACCUCCGAACUGAACGAACUGUAAUUGAGAAUUGAAUAAAAUCUAAUCAAGUUAAUCUCUUUCGAACUCAAAUUACCGGACCGACCUCAACUGUAAUCAACAAUACAUAAUUUCCUUUUAUGCAUUUAUUGGACCAUUGGUGAAAGUGAAUUAAAAUCAGGAAGAACAAAUUCGUAGAUACAAAACUGAACCGAAACAGGUUCAAUCUAAACAAAAAUGAUGAUUAGGGGAUGCAAAACCAAUUUGAUUACUGAACAAUGAACACUAAAUAAGAUUUUAUCCGGUAUCAUUUGAUUUUGCAAAUCUAGAUGAACAGUACCGGUAAUUGUAAAUCCAUGUUUAUUGCAAUACCAAAUAUUCAUGGCUUAAUAAUAUUUAUCUAUUGAGAUCUAAAUGAUAAAUAUAAGUGAUUUCGUAAUUUAACAUUUAAAUUUUAUAAAUAUUCAGUACCAAAAUUUUCUUUGAAGAAAUACAUGAGAUAAAAAUAUCAAAGUCUAAUGUUGAUGGUAUAUACCGAAAGCACGAGAAAAGACGUCCUAAAAACGAAUCGCAACACCCACUUGAAAUGCAAAAUUUGGAUCUUACCAUUGCGGCUACAAACAUUUUAGUAGUCAUACGAUAGAGUGUGUUAACUUUGAAACAAACAAUUAUAUGAUUUACAUUUGUUGGUUAUAGUUAUUUAUUUAAUUUAUUCAUAUAUUUUUUAUCAGGUAAAAUAAAAAUUCAAGUAGCAAUUAACAAAAAUAAGAUAAAGUUAUAAUGAUAAAUAAUUAUUUAAUAUGUAUAAAAAUCUAAAAUAUUUUUUUUUGUCGACUUUUCAAAAAAAUCAAAAUAUUUAAUAAUUUGAAAUGGGUGAAAAUAUUUUUAAAUAUUUAAAUUAAUUUUUCACUAAUUGAAAGUAAAAAAUACAUGCAAAUAAGAGGAGGAAGAAGCGAAGUGAUAAGAAAAAGGUGAGUAGGACAUAGAAUCUGUGGCUCAAAUCUCACCAAAAUCUCAAAACUCUCUUCUCCUUGGAUAAGAGAAGUAUCCAGAAGCCUUUCAUUUCCACUUGAUCCUCCUUCUCUCCUUCCUCCUAUAAUCCCAAAACAAAACCCAUCUCUCAAACUCCUCCUCAAACCUCUCUCUCUCUCAUCUCCGAUCAGAGCUCAGGCAAAUGGCGGCAACAAUGGCGACAUCAGCCAAAUGCAUGUCAUCUCCUCCUAAACCCCUAAACCAAACCAAACCCAUCUCUUCCAAACCCUUCAUCUCCCUCCCAACCCCACCAAAACCCACCGUCUCUCUCGCCGUCACAAGCACCGCCCUCGCCGGCGCCGUCUUCUCCGCCCUCAGCUACUCCGAACCCGCUUUCGCCGCCCACCAGAUCGCUAACCUCGCCGCGGCCGCCGCCGUGGAAGGCAGCGACAACCGUGGCUUAGCUCUCCUCCUCCCGAUCGUCCCGGCCAUCGGAUGGGUCCUCUUCAACAUCCUCCAGCCUGCUCUUAACCAGGUCAACAAGAUGCGCGAGAGCAGAGGAGUCGUCGUUGGUCUUGGCAUCGGCGGUGGUCUCGCCGCGUCCGGGCUUUUGACUUCGCCGCCUGAGGCAUCGGCGAGUGUGGCUAACGAGAUGGCGGCGGUGGCGGAAGCUGCGGCGAAAGUUGGAGACAACAGGGGACAGUUGUUGUUGUUUGUGGUUGCUCCGGCUCUG